UUGAACCUCUCUACAAUAACAUCAUUUGUCUGGUUGGGAGGGGUAGAAAAGAUGGGUGAGGUAAAAUUUAAAAGCUACGUCACCUUUUUGGAAUAAAAAACCAGUCUUAAGACUUUUUUUUGGAUCAUUGUAAACGAAAUGAAUAGAUAUGCCCCAUUUGUUAAACACAAAGUAUAUAUGCACUAUCUUUUAAGGAGGAAUAUGUGCUUUAAAUCACCGAAAGCAGACGACAACACUUAACUUUUUCUUUGUGUGGAAGGAAAGUGAAAACAAAAGAAUCAAUUCGUUUAGGAUUUUCUUCCAACUUUAUUUAAUAGAAGGAAGUAAGAAAUUCCUUCAAGCCCAUGAAGCUACAAAUUACAAAAGAAAGAAAAAAGAGGAAAAAGUUAAUGAGAUUAUGGCUUUGGUUUUUGUAACAAAUCUGCAAGAUCAAGGGGCAACACUACGCCGCAGCAACAGGGACAAACAACCCCCUAAAUACUUGGACCAAUAUGUGGUCCCAAAUGCCAAGCAAGGUCCACCUGUGCUAGUAUCAGUAGCACCAGUAGCAGCAGGCAGUGCUGCCAGGAGCUCUGCAACAUAACUUAUCUAUAUAAUCAAAAGGUAUGCUACCAAGGAGGAUCAUGGAUGAAGUUGUCUUUUAAUUUCUUAGCUUUGUAAUAGUCUGAAAUCUCUCUCCAUUCUUGUUUUUUUUUUCUUUUUAGCUUAUCUACACUUUCAGUAAUUGUAAGUUAUUCUCUAUCUUUCAAAACAAGUUAGUUUGCUCCAGUUGUCACCAAAAGCAGAUAACAUUAUGGGUCCUACUUGAAUGCAAAAUAAGAAUCUAAUAAUAGAGGAGGAAGAAGAUAUUGGAUUCCCAGCAAUUCUCCGCUAAAUACUAAUCAAACUUUAUCUAUUAGAUUUGACAUGAUAUAUCAGAAAAGUGAAAAUUAGCGGAAACUCACAUUUCGAGGUAUAAUUUUACCAAUAUCUGCUUUCUUUAAUUUAUUUCUAGAUUCUGGUGCAACUUUGUGAGGUAUAAAUUUUAUUUUUUGCAUCUGACAUACUCAAAGACCAAAAUUAUUAAGUGCAUACUUAAGAAACUAUUUUGAAUGUAUCAUCAAAAACAUAAAGCUUCAUUUUUUUUCAUUUUCCCUUUUCACAACUUAUUCAAGCACAACGUUUGACUGAUGACAGCGGGUUGUCAAAGUUAUUUUUAACUGGCUCAAGUCAAACAGUUUCAACAAGGUGGCAUUUUAUUAACCAUGAUGAUUCGACUUGAAACUAUAGGUUCAUGCAUCAAUUUAGUGGGAUGUAUCCUUCAAAAUCAUGAAGAAUGGUAGACAAUAUGAUGCAAUAAUUUUCCAACAUCAUUGCUCUGAACUACUUAAUCCGUAUGCUACAUUGACCAUCCGCUUUACUUCAUAUUCACGAACUACUUCUACCAUGUAGAUUUACGUUAGAUAACUACACUUCUUCGGUAGAACUUAGUAUUGGCAGAGAGUAUUUGAGCUCUACAUCCCAAUGGAAGAACUGUUGCUCUACCACCAGAGCUACUUACAAAUAUUCCGGGAAAUAGUUCCCCUUUGGACCAUUUUUACUUCUUGAUCUGAGGCAAUUUACUGAUAGUUUCAAGGCUUUUGCAUCUACCUGUUUUGGCACAGGUUUCUUGCUUCACGCACAUUCAUCUCCAUAUGGUUUUUGGAAGCUACUUGUCAGCAAAGGCUAAGUUGUCCAAAAAAGUUGGCAGUCAUGUCACCUACCUCUACAAAGACAAAAACUAUACAGAUUCCAAUGUUCUUUCGGGAAUGUUUCUCAGGCCAAGAGUGUAGUUGUUCUGUUACAUAGAAAACAUGCACCAUUCAUAUGCAGUGUCACCAGUUCUGUUCUGAAAUACCAUGUUCUCAUUUUGUACUGCAAAAAUAAUCAAAUCCAAAAAACUGGAACUUGUUAAAACCACUUAUAAGUAAUCAAAUUAUACAUAUAAUUACUUUAUCACAUAUUCCUAAUCCAAAAUGAUCACAAAAACUUGCAGCAUUUCUUUUUUAAACUCCUCAACUAGCCUUCCAUUAUUUCCUGUUACCAGAAGAUAAUCAACAUAAAGAGACACAUUUACAUAAAGAGUGGAUUCAGAUAAGUUUUUUUAAAAACCCAAACUUAACAGCUAUACCAAGCACUUGGCACUUGUUUUAGGCCAUAAAAAGCCUUUUUUAGCAAAUAGAUUUUAUCUUUAUCACCAUGUUUCACAAAUUCUGAUGGUUGCUCGACAUAUAUUUCCUCCUUUAGUAUGCCAUUUAAGAAGGCUGAUUUGACAUCAAGUUGGAACACUUUCCAUUUCAUUUGUGUUGCUAUUGUGAGCAACAAUCUGAUUGUGUCUUAUCUUGCAACAGGAGAGAAAGUGUAAGAGAAAUCAAAUCCAAAAAUUUGUGCAUACCCUUUCACUACAUGCCUUGCUUUAUGCCUGUUGAUUGAACCAUCAACAUUUAGCUUGGUCCGAAACACCCAUUUUACCCCAAAACCUUUCUUCAUUGAGGUUUGUCAACAAGCUGCCAGGUAUUUUUUUUUUCUAUCUAUCAUGAACAACUCCUCCGCCUUUGCAUUUUUCUACUUGGGGUCUUUGAGACCAUCUUCAGGGUUAGCAGGACCACGUAUUGCUAUAUUACAUCUCUCAUAAAUGUCAGAGAAAUGUUCCCCUUACUGGUGGAUGAUCCUCUAUUUCAUUAACGAUGACCUUGUUUUCUGGACAGAAUUCUUUGAAUCUUCACAUCCCAAUUCUUUAUUUUCCACGAAGUAGACAUCUCUGCUGACAACUAUCUUCUCAAUGUUUGGUUGAAAGAUUUUGUACGCCUUUGAAAAAGCACUACAUCCAAUAAAAAUGCUUGGGCAGCCUCUUUGUCUAGUUUAUCUCUUUAACCUGAGGAAAAUAGCUAAAUCAAAGACAACCAAACACUUCAAGAAAAUGCAGCGGAGGUUUGUACCCAUACCAUGCUUCAAAAGAAGUUUGAUCUUUUGCAGCCAUUGAGGGAAGUCGAUUUUGUAUGAACACAAUUGUGUUUGCUGCCUCUGCCCAAAAUCUCUGACAUAUUCUUCUCGUGCAACAUACAUCUUUCCAUUUCCAUAAUAAAUCUAUUUCUUCGUUCACUAACUCCAUUUUGUCAUAGGGUAUAAGGAGCGGUAAGUUGAAGUUCUAUCCCUUCUUCUUUACAAAACAGAUUGAACUAAUAAGAAGUAUACUCCUUGUCGUUGUCAGAUCGUAAAAUCUGAAUUUUGCAGCAACUUUCAUUUUACACUUUCCAUUUUGAACUUCCAAAAAACACUCUUGAUGUCUGAAGAACUGCAGUGGGUUGCUUCUCAACUUAGGACCUUUUCCCAGACAUCAAAUAGUAAGAACUAGGAAAAUCUUAAUAAUAUAGUGCAAAGAGAGAGUAAAUAUUAGACACAACAAUUUUAUGUGGAAACUCCUUACUCAAGGGCAAAAAACCGCGACCUUCUUCUAGGAUUUCUAAGCUCCACUAUAUCAAAGCAAAGUUGAAUAAAAACUCCAAACUCCAAGGAUUAAACUCCUAAUCCUUUAUCUCCUAGUAUUAACUCUUUUACAAGAAGACACAAGCGGUAACUCUACUGCUACAGACUCUAGAUAACUCUAACUGGACAAACCAGCUAACUCUAGCUUGGGAAUCACCGAACUCUAGAUGAGUACAAAGAAAUCUAGUUUUCACCACAACACCUACUAAUAAUUUUACAAGCAAUAGUAGGCAAACAUUUAAGAACACAUUAAAAAGAAUCAAAUACAACAAAAAAAUAAAAUACAACUUGAGGACCUAUUAGUUUCUUGUGUCAAAGUGAGUCUUUGAUUCAAGAGCUUCAAACGAAAUAUAUGUUGUAAGUAUGUGGAAGCUUGGUUUUCUUGUUGGAGAAGAUGAGCAAUAUAUAUUAUGAUACAAGAAAUCCUAGGAGGAAUGUCAUUGGUUGAGACAAAAGGUAGCAAUAACUUUUCACCAACUUUUGUACUUGUACCUAGCUAUGGUGUUGACUGUGAUAGUGAUAGGUGAGCCCAAUUUGUUCCCUAAGUAGUAGCAGCUUUUUCAUCACAUAAUAUCCAAGGAAACAAGUCCCAACAUACAAUUCGUUAAUCAUCAAAACUAAGGACUUAACAAUUUCCCCCUUUUGAUGAUGACAAACCCAUGCAAGCAUUCAGUAUUUUCAACCAUCUCGACAACACACUGAAUACAUAACAUGACUCAGCAACACAUGCCCGCAAGCUUGUUUCUCCACCAAUUCCCCCUGCAUUAUAACCUAAACAUUCCUCACAAUAUUCCCUCUGUUAAGGAGCACCUAAGGUUGCCCUUGAGUGUAAAAACUACUACACUGUCUUCAUUCACCAUCCCCUAUUCUCCCUUAACAACCCAUACCAUGCUUUUCCCCUUCACAUACCAUGCACAACUAGAUACAUCUCAACUUUCCCUCUUUUUCAUUAUCAAAGAGGUUAGGUAGCAAACCAAGUAUAGAUACACAUAUGUUAACCCAUGGAGAUUGAGGCAAUACUGAUAUGAGCAGGGAAGAUGGAAUAAAAAAGAGAGAAAAUAGAAUCAAGAGGACUCAUACAGGAAUUAAGAGAAAGUAUCAAACACUAUUCAGAUAGAGGUCCAUAAUAAGAGGCAGUAGUGCCAGGGUCAUAGGGAGAGAUAAUUUUUAGGGAAACCAGAUGAAUAAGGGUUUAGGAAAGGAGGUGCCAGAAGAGAAUAUACCAACGUACCUCUCCCCAUAUUCUCUCUCUUUCUAUAUACAUAUAUAUCUAUGUACAUAACCUUCAAUUAUGGAAUCCCCCAUCAAUCAGAAAUAGUUUAGUAUCUACUCUUUAUUACUUUCACAAUGAGGAAUGGGAGAGAGUAAAUCGUCAAAGAUAAUCAAGUGACAUUUUGGAGUUUCAAAGUUCACCUUGCACUUCUGCUGGUAAAUGGAAUUAUGGCCACUAAUUAAGAAUAGAGUGUGAUACUAACCUGAUUAGGGACUUGGUCCCCACAUGAUGGUCUGAGUACAUUAGGUACACAAUAUUUGAGUUAUUAUACCCUCUCCCUAUCCUUUCUUUCCUUCCAUGGGUGUACAUCUGUAAAAGAUAUGAGACUGAGUUAGACAUAGAUAAGAUCAUCUAACCUGGAUACCUACUUACCAAGUCAUAGACUAUUGAUAGGAUAAAGAAGAUCAGCAUGCAUUCAACUUGUUCUUAUCAACCCUAAUCUUGACCUAUUUUUUUCAAAAGGUUCUUUUUCAAGUGCCUUGGUAAAGAUGUCAUCAAUAUGAUCUUCAUUCCUACAAAACACCAUCUUGAUCAAGCUAUUUUCCAUGUUAUCUCUUAGAAAGUGAUGUCUGACAUUAAUAUGUUUUGUUCUUUUAAGCUGAACUGGAUUCUUUGUCAUAUUGACAACACUUGUGUUGUCACAAUAUAAGGGUAAUAAUAUGAGAGAAUGCCAAAGUCAUCAAGUUGCUACUUGAUCCACAAUAGUUGAGCACAAUAUAAUGCAACUUUAAUAUAUUCAUAUUCAGCAAUAGAGAGUGCCACUGCAUUUUGCUUCUUGGUAGCCUAAUAGAUCAAAGAUGAUCCAAGAAAAUGAUCCAUUCCUGAGGUGAUUUUUCUAUCAAUUAGGUACCCAGCAUAAUCGGUAUCAGCAUAUCCAACUAGGUCAAAAUAUCACCAGCAGGAUAGAAGAGAACCAGGUUAGAGGUCCUUUUAAGAUAUCUCAAAAUCCUCUUGGCAGCCCUUAAGUGAGAUUUCUUUGGACUUGCUUGAAAUAUAACACAUAUCCUAACACUAACACUAACACAAUGUCAGGUUUUCUAGCUUUUAGGUAUAGAAAUGAUCCAAUGAUCCCUCUAUAUAGUUUUAUUGACAGAGGGACCGGUUUGAUCUAAGUCCUGUUUAGAGAAAGUGCCAAUGGGCGUGUCAAUAGGUUUUGUAUCUACCGUAUGGAACUUUUGAGCAAUUCCUGUAUGUACUUUUAUUGGCAUACAAUAGUUCCAGCUGCACUCUACUUAGUUUGCAACCCAAGAAAGAAAUUGAGUUCUCCCAUCAUACUCAUCUCAAACUCACUACUCAUCAACCUGGCAAAUUUAUCACAAAGGGAGCGAGUUGUAGCUCCAAAAAUGAUAUCAUCCACAUUAAAUUGGAAAAUGAGCAGAUUUCUUCCUCUAGCCUUUAAGAAUAGAGUAUUUUCAAUUUCCCACCUUUGAACCCAUUGUUAAGCAAAACUUGGAUAGUUUUUCAUUACUUCAAUCCAUACAGGGCCUUAUCCAGUUUGAACACAUGAUUAGGGAAUACAACAUUUUCAAAAUGUAGAGGCUUUUUCACAAACACCUCUUCUUUUAGUAAACCAUUCAACAUGGCAUACUUUACAUUCAUCUGAAACGGUUUGAGCUUCAUAUAGGAAGCAAAGGCAAUUAGAAUUCUAAUUACCUCUAUUUUGUCUACUGGAGAAAAUAUUUCAUCAUAAAUCUAUCCUUUCUUCGUGGUUAUAUCCUUUUACAACAUGCCUAGAUUUGUUCCUGAUGGUGUUGUCAUGCUUAUCUGCCUUAUUUCUGUACACCCACUUGGUCUCUAUGACAAUUCAGUUUUAUCUGAGGGUCGUGGGACCAGGUACCAAACUUUACUUCUUUCAAACUGAUGAAGCUCUUCCUAUAUAGCAUUGAUCUAAUAUACAUCCUUCAGUGCUUUCUUUAUAUUCUUGGGUUCAAUCUAUGAUAAAAAUGCUGAUAAAGCACAAAGGUUCUUAGCUCUAUUCCUAGUCUGCAUGACUGAGUUCAGAGGAGACAAUAAAUUAUCAAGAAAAUAUGAAGACUAAUGCUUCUAACUAGAUCUGAGGGGAGUGGGAUGACUUGCAUUGGGACUAGUUCCCAUUGAGGUGUUACCCUUGGGAGACUGAUCAUUUCCUUCACUGGAUGGAGGGUUAAGAUUUGAAAAAGGGGGCUUAUGAAGUGUCAUGAUUUUUUGGAUCUGCUGCAACUUCAUCUUUAGGUCCUAAUUCAGGUCCAUGUGAGUCAACAUCAUCAUUACUUUUAAGAUCCUUCUUGCCAUUGUUCAGUAUAAAACAUUCGCAAAUAUAUGGUUUGAAGUAGGUCAGCUUUGGUUUCCAUUUGGUCAAAAGUUCAUGGGGAGUAUUAUUUAGAAUAAACCUCACAAGACACAUGCUGUCCUCUUCACAUCUCUCAAAGUUUAUAUUUAGACAUUCCUUAUCUCUAGUGAGAUCAUCGACAAUAUCAAUUAGUACAGUAGCAAGAGAGUUCAGUUCUUUAAGAGAAUAAUUUUUGAGGUUUUCUUUGAUGUCUAAAAGUGCUACCUUAUCAUCUUCUUCCUCAUCUGAGUCUUCCAUUAAAGCAAAGAGUGAGUCAUACACUUGACUAUCAUCCUCCACCACCAUCAUGGAGACAUCUUCAGGCUGCUCAGACUCAUUAGUAUCAUAAGUAUCAUAGAGAGAAUCACCCAGAGCAGCUAUAGAUUGCAUUGCCACUCUAUCAGCUUUAACUUUUUUGUUGUAUUUUACUUUAACUUGUUUCCUGUCUCUCUCUUUCUCAUUGUUCUGCUUGAUAUAAUCAUUAAAUUAUAAUCUAUGCAAGGGGCAAUCCUUAAUGUACUUACCAGGCUUCCUGCAUUUGUGACAUUUAACAUUCCCCUUUCCAUUUGUGACAUAUCUGUUGGAUUCACCUUUUCUGGGAAAUGCUCCUAACUUUUUCCAUGACUUGAUGACUCUCUUGGCAAUGUAAGCAAUUUUCUUAUCUUUUUGGGGUUUCUUUAGUGACCUUUAUCUUCUUGGGGUUUCUUUAGUGACCUUUAGAACCUUUAAGCUUGAAAGAGAAAAUCCUAUGUUGAUUGCCUCCUCUUGUAUUUUAGAAAGAUGAACUGGGGAUUUAAGAGAGUUAAAACAUUAAUAAUGACCCUAAUUUCAUCUAUAGAUGUUUAGGACGGUUAUGGGACAUGAAAGGACCGUAUUGCCUUUAAAUAACACUAAAACAGAGCUUUUAUGCCUUUUUACCAUGGUGGGCGACGCAUAGUCCAUAGCACAAGCCAAGCUGGGCGAUACACAGCCCAUGGAAUAGCCUUAGUGGGCGUCGCAUGCCCCAUCGCAUAGUCUGGACAGUGUCUCAUUUAAAUACUUAUAACUUUUGACUCCGAACUCGGAUUGAUGAACGGUCGGUGGUGUUGGAAAAAAGAUUCGAACGGCUUUAAUUUGAUAUAUAGUAGGCCCUCUAACAAGUCAUAUUAUAGGAGUAAUAGUCGAUGGAAGUUGACCCAAGUUGAAACAUUCACUAAAAUUUAAUCUAUAGAAAUGUUUUCAACUCGUCUUAGAGUUCGGGGAUUUUUGUGACCUCAACUCAUAUUCAAAGGUAUUCCAACACUAUAGUAUUGAUCACCCUACAUAUAGUAUCAUAAAAUAAUUUAGUUCGGGUCUAUACACAUAGAAACAACAUUUUAAAUUCUAGCCCGAAUGUGUGGGGUGUUACAUUAUCUCCCCCUUAGGAUCAUUCGUCCCUGAAUGAUGGGUAGGGACUUGUUGAAUCUCUAAAAGAAUGGAAUAAGAACGUGACCUCGCAUUGAAUAUUUUUCAUCAACAAAAUAUUCAAAGGUAUCAAAAGAGCUUCACGAUAACCCAUUGUGAAAUAUGUAAGCACGAAAAAUGAGACAAUGAAAAUUGACCUAGAGAUGACCUUGCACAAAAGUUCUAAGGAUCAUAACCAUUACAACAUAGGGCAUGAGUUUAUUUGGUGAUCAUGGGACUGAUUUACAUCUGUACUAAUCAUGACAUAAGGUUUUGGGGAAAUAGGAAUAGAAACAUUCUCUACCUUACAAGAUACAACGAAUACACUUAAACUUAGAGACACUACUCAUCUAUGCUCCAAACAAUAAUUAACAUAUUACAUAAUCUCCAACUUAAAAUUUCUCAUCACACAUCUAACCAUAAGAAUUUGUGUCCCACUACAUAGUGUUUUUGUGUUGAAGCCUAACUCAAAAUAACAAGGUGCUAAUUUAAGAUACAAGGCCCUAUACUCUACAUCACAUUAAGAAAUCACCUCGCCUCAUCACUAUAAUUCAACAACCUCAAGUCUUAAUCCAAGGAGUACUAACCAAAUGGCAAAUUGGUUUGUAUUUUCAUCAAUCAAAACAUUCAAGCCUAUCAUUACUACUCUUACCUCUUGGAUCUCCUAAUUAAGACAAGAAAAUUCUAUCACUCUCACAAAGAUUUUUGCCACAUAUCUCUUUCCCAACUAUUUCCCUUAACGGAAGUUCAUCUCCUUCUUUUCCCUUUCACCUAUAGUCUUAGCUAGAGAAUAACAUCAAAAUUUUCACCUUCAAGAGAAUCUACUCCCCCACCUAACACACUACUAUGAUUCUACAACCACCAUUACACUAAUAUAUGGAGGGUCAUUGAGAGACCCGAGUAUAAAAGUCAUGAAUGGAAGUAACACUAUUAGACCAUAACUUACACUUAUUGUACUACUUAAGGAGGGACAUGAAAUGAAGAUAUGAUAGAAUAGACACGAAGUGCUUCAUCUAUCAAGUGUUUGGAUCAUAAGUAAAGAGUCAUUUGUCAUAAUACAACACAACAUGAUUUCUUAGGACAUACUAUAUUGAGAAACAUGGGGGCACAUAGCAUGAGCAAUUUAGCAUAAAGCCAAAGUUUUUGUAGUUAACAGCUAAGACAAGGAUUGCCACUUGAAGAGAUUGAUACUCAUUUAAAGAACUAAAAUUUUCCAUGAGUUAGAAUAAAUUUUAUCACUUUGGCUAAUCCCGACGUAAAAUGAACCGGUAACGUAUAAAAAGCAUAGUUUGUUUAGAACCAAACAUUAUGUGAGACAUGAAUUUUUAUAGAUCAUGAGCAACAUAAAAUAUACCUUGGAUAAAUGGAAUAUUGGAUCACUGAGAGACAUUAUUGCUUCUAGUUUAGAAGUCGGGACAUGAGUUACAUAGAGAGUUGAAACCUUAGACAUAGGUAGGACUUGAAUACAUAAGACAUUGGUUGAUUGACCUCUUAAAUUGAAGUAGGAGGAAUAAAUUUAAAUAGGAAUUGAUUUAUCCGAACUCUUUCUUAAAAUUUUCCACCAUGAGAAAAUUCGAGAACUGCCUUAACUCAUCAUCUCCCCUUAGAUCAAAGUCAUAAAUCCUAAACUUAAGGACAUACCUUCUCAUUAAAUCUACAAACACAACUCAAUCCAAUGGGGUAUCGCCAUACACAUAAAUGCUAAACUUUCUCUCUUUAACUAUACUCUAAAGGCAUUGGUUUCGAAGAACGCUACUCUUAAUUUUUCUCUAUCCUCUACAACCAUCAACCUACAACUCAUAGUGUCAUGAGCAUACACAUCCCCACUCCUUAACACAUACCAAUCCACUCUUUACUACUUAACAUUCUAAUAUUAGACCACUAAUCGCAUAACUUACAACAAAAUAAAACCUGUAAAACUAUACCAAAGGAGCAUAUUUCCUACCUAUAUUUUCUCAAUUCAACUCUACAUAAUGCUAUACAAUAACUCUCUGACUUUUCCAUACUACAAGAUUCGAGAAUGAAAUCAAGGUACAUAUGAGACUUAUACACAUCAAACCUUAUCAAACAACAUGCUACCUCUGGGUUCAACUUAUCAUUAUAUACCUACACCCUUAUCCACUUAAUGACUCAACUACAAUCCAUCAUUUUUUAUACUAGUCCUCAUGUACCUAAAUAACACAAUUAUCCUCUCUUUUUACACAAGUUAGCAACCUAAGCUAUUUCAUACCUCACAUCAAGCCUACUAAUUUAUUCCCACAAAACAUGCACAAUUAACCUUAAGCUACUAUUCUCACCCCCACAAUCCACAUCUCAAGUUUAAGCCUAUUGUCUAACAACACCAAUCAUAUGAAGCAUGUCACAUACUAUACUAAUCAAUCGAAUAGAAAUAUCAACCUAAGUCUCUUAUUUCACUUAACUAUGACCUAUAAGUUCAUCCUCUCCCUGACAUUACUACUACACCUCAAAAUCUACUGCAUACCUUCUCACAUGCAGUACUAGUUUACAAUGACAAGAAAAAAGACAAUCAAGGGGGUAAAGUCACAUAAUAGGGAUGGGCGAUCUGAAUCUUAUAAUGUAACCCAUUACCAUCUAUUAACAUAUUCUACUUCUUCACAUCAUAUUUACUUACCCAGGUAUAAAUCACAACUACCUUCCAAAUACCAUAUACAACAAUGCAUCUAUACUUACCACUUAUUGACCAAUCUAUCCCUUUCCAUUCACAACCUAUAAAUAAUUUCUACAACCACCAUAUCUUGGNNNNNNNNNNNNNNNNNNNNNNNNNNNNNNNNNNNNNNNNNCACAUACUACUAUACCAUUAAAAAUAUUGAUACCGUAUUAGUCUAUCGCUAUAAACUGGCAACCUACUCCUUAAUCCACAAUUAUACAACUAAACUAACUUCUUUACGCAAGGCCCCCCUCAUUCUAACUUCUAAGUUUGUGACUUCAUAUCUCUAACUUCUAAGUUUGUGACUUCAUAUCACUAACUUCUGGGACAUUUUACAGCUCAUAGGUUAUGACACUUAUCACAUACUACUAUUUGGGUGGAAAUAAUGUUCCAACAUUCUACCAUACGUAUUACCCUUAAGCACAAUAUCUGUAACAAAGGUUUUAGAAAAUAAUGAAAUACAAUUCAUACCACAGGAUCAACCGCAUGAUUGAUGAAGGUAAGGGUAUAAUCUUACAUCAAUUCCCCUUAAAGAACUCAUAGACUCCUCUCAAGUCCUUGUGCAAUUUCAUAAUUGUUUAUGACUCAAUUAGAAAGGACUACCUCAUUUAGACUCUAAGAUUCCGCACUUGAACCGACUCGACAAUGAGACAUAGUUAAUAAAGUCAGAGUAAAGAAAAAAUUUGGAUAACUUCCAAAUGGACAACACGAUAGAACGAUCUAGAACAUGAAGAAAAGUGAAACAUUUCUAAAUGCCUAGUAGCCUCCUACUUAUAAGUGUGGUGCGCUACACACCCAUAAAUGAGACUCUACUCGCCGUAAUUUCAUAGACACCCUGGGACCAUAAACCAUGCUCUGAUACCAAGUUUGUCACGACCCCAAGCUGGGGCCCUGGCAUUAAUGAGCAUUUCAAACCAUGAAGGCUCGAAUGACCCUUUCUUCUGGUAAUCAUGCAUAACAUUCGUACAAUAUAAAGAAUUUGUGGAAAAACAUAAUAAAAUAGAACCAUGGUAAAUCUCAAAACACUUGAAAAUUUUGGAAGGAAAUUCUUAAUAUUCAAAACAUAUGACAUCCAUCUGUGAAAUCUCUAAAAAUACCAAGGACCAAUAUUUGUCUGAAAGCUGGGACAAGGACACCAGUCGGACCAUAACCAAAGAAAAUAACAAUGUCUCAUAAAAUAGGCCUUUCAAAAUAAGAGAGGCUCACCAACUGCCAGCUUCGGACAAAUUGAUCUACUGCUCAACGGGAUCCCGGGACAGUGCCUCAGAUCCUGAAAUAUAAGGAGGUCAAUACAAUUGUACUGGUAUAUGAAACAACCCAAAAAUAGCAUGCUUUUUAUACAAAAUAAAUGAGAGCAUUUCAUAAUAACCAUGAAAAUAAUGCAAGUAAGAAUACAUGGGAAUAUUUUAGUGAACUUCAAAACAACUCUUGACAACUUUGACUUACUCUUUGUUAUUCUUCUGAGCUAGUUGGUGCAUCCUACAAAUCUGUAAUUCCACGGGCUAUGUGGAACCCGCCCUUGACUCGGCGGCCAAGUCUCUAAUACAAGUAGCCACCAGGAUUGGAGUGGUGAUACCCCUCAUGUGAGCACACCGCAGGAAAUCCCCCCAUGUAAGAUGUUUGAAAUUUUUUUUCAUGUAGGAUAAUAUAUCAUAAGCCCCACAUCGGCAACUACGAUUUCUAGCGAUGAGUCCUUACACUCAAAUGCCUUCUUCGGGUAAUCAAAUAGCUCUCUUAAUCCCAAUUUUUAGUUCUUUAAAGUUAUGCUUCAUACUUUUAAAACAGCCAAUACUUACUUUAUUAAGGGCAUGUCAUCACUGGGUAUCGUCAUAACCUGAUUUGCAAAUUAAUCAAUUCACAUCAUAUCAUAUCUAUAGCCCCUUUUAACUUAUUAUCAUGUUAAUGACCACCUUUAGUGUUAAAAACAUCAAGUGAGAGAGAGUUAUGCAAUAAAUUUUUAUUUGAGUUUACAUCAAAACACUCUUCUCUCGAUUGUACAAUCAUAAAGUGGCCAUAUCAUAUUUGCAUUUCUCAAAACCCAUGGAAAUUAUUGAUUUGACAAAAUGAAAGUUUAUCAUGUGAAAACACCCUCUCAACAUAUCAUAAAAAGUAUCAACCCAUGAUCAUUAAAAAAGCAUUCACCCUUUAGUUUUUUUUUUAGAAAGUUUAUGCCUUUAAACAACCCAUAACACUUGAAAUCAAAAAUAUCAUGAUGGGAGAGGGAUUUUUUAUCAUUCAUGCUCUCAAUCAAAUUUUUUAUUGCAACCAAAAAAUAGAUAUAUAGUUAUAUUCAAAUUUCAUAAGAAAUGGUUCAAGACAACAUAUAAUUUCUUUAAAACAAUUUCAAGAUACAUACUUUUCAAGACAAUUUCAAAACCCUUCUUUAGAAACAUGAUUGGGGAUCUUUAGUCUUGAUAAAAACAGUAAAACUUAUGCCUAUGGAGUUUAGGGUAGUCCCACAUACCUUAAUUUAUGAAGAAUUCAUGAAAAGAUCAAACCUUUAAGCUUGAAAGAGCAAACCCUAAGUUGAUUACCUCCUCUUGUGUUUUAGAAUGAUGAACCGGGUAUUUAAGAGAUUUAAAACGUUAAUAAUGACCCUAAUUUCAUCUAUAGAUAUUUAGGGAUGGUUAUGGGAUGUGAAAGGACCGUAUUGCCCUUAUAUAAUAAUAAAAAAAGUUUUACACUGUUUUUCCCAAGGUGGGAGAUGCAAAGUCCAUGGCACAAGACAAGCUGGGCGGCGCACAACCCAUGGCAUAUCUAGAUAUUUCUUCAACAUGAUUAUCUAAGAAAUUACACUAGACUAUUCUAGAGACUUAACUAGAAAUCUAUGAUUCCAAAAAAUCUACUUUAAUAUUUUCACACUCUCCCUUAAAGUGAUUUUUUGGAAGCUACCCUAAACUUGUCGCGGAAGAACUCAAGUGAAGCUUUGAACUGUGCCUUAGUGAAAAUCUUAAUAGUUUUUGCAUGACUCCUCUUUCUUUUUCAAGUGAUGAAGAUUUCUUAUUAAUGAAUGUCCCUUGUUGAGUUUUAUCAUGUUGAGUUCUCGAGCUCCCUCUUUCCUGAACUCCUCCACAACUUCAUUAUCUGGUGACUCAAAUAUGAUGGAAAAGUUUGAAGCUCUAGGAUGGAAGAUUUUACAAAUUUCUCUUUCUGAAGAAACUCCAUAACACUAGGAUCUUUUUUUGGUAUCAGUCUCCUCAUUUGAUUUGAUGAUGAUCUUUUGUUCGGGCCUAUCAACCAACUCCCAAGUAUCUUUUUUAUUAAUUAUGGCAAGCUCCUCCUUCAUUGCAGAAAUCCAAGCUUUAUGAGCUACUGUUCCUUCAAAGGAAAAUGGUUCCACAAGAGAAAAAUUGCAUUAUUCAUAAACUUCAGCUAGUGACCUGGUCUUCAAAACUGGAGAAUCAGUUAUCAAUUUAACAUCUAAAUAGUUUUCUUCUCCAGCAAUAGGACUGGAAGAAUUAUCACUCAUCUGCGGAUUUAGAGCUGGAACUGAAGUACUUCUUUCUUGGUUCAUUACAACAAUAUCUCAAUCCCAAUCAUAGUGGCUAGACUCGCCCACCACAAGAUCUCUACUGAUAAGCAACUUCUUUGUACUAACAUUAUACACUUUGUACCUUUUUACAGUUGUGCUAUAUCCUAACAAAAUACAAAGUUCUACCUUGUUAUCCAAUUUACCUCUUUUAGCAUCAGGAAUAUGUGCAUAGUAAACUAAACUAAAGACUUUUAAGUGUCUCGCAGACGACUUUCUACCUUUCCAUGCUUCAAAUGGUGUCAAGUCUUAGAGUGCUCUAGUUAGUAAUCUGUUUAGCAAAUAGACUGCAGUAUUGACUGCCUCAGCCCAAAAACAUUUGUGUAUCUUUUUUUCUGCUAGCAUAUAUGUGGCCAUCUCCAUCGCGAUUUUGUUCUUUCUCUUAGAAACCUUAUUUUGUUCUGGAGUGUAGCUCACAGUAAAUUGUUGUUGAAUGCCUAUAUCUUUACAAUACUUGCUGAGCUGAUGCGAAGUAUAUUCAGUUCCAUUAUCUGACCUGAUAUACUUCAACUGGAAGCCACUCUCUCUUUCUACCAUAGCCUUAAAUUCUUUAAAAACUGAAAACACCUAAACUUUGCUACUUAAAAAGUAGAUCCAUGUUAUUCGAGUUAGAUCAUCUAUAAAGAGAAUAAAAUAUUUAUUUCCACUCAAAGAAGCCGUCCUCAUUGGUCCACAUAUAUCUGAAUGAACCAAAUCUAGCUUUUCUUUCGCCCUCCAAAGGCUUUCUUUAGGAAAGGAUCAUCUAUGCAAUUUACCAAAUUGACAUGACUUACAAACAUCUCGACAUAUGUCAAUUUUGGGCACAUCAAGCACCAUACCCUUGGAUUGCAUAUACACCAAUGAACUACGAUUGUAAUGACCAAAUCUUUUGUGCCAAAGCCAAGUAUCACUCAUUUCAAUAUUGAAAGAGCAACUUUCAUCAGAAUAGCAUGAAAUUGGAAAGGAAUUUCCAAUCAUGCUAAUUUUAGAUACUUCACAACCUUUAGGAUCAUAAAUGACACAUUUUUUAUCCUUAAAAAGAAGUGAAUAAUUAUUGUGAAGCAACUGAGCAACACUCAACAAGUUUUGAGUCAGGUUUGGCACAUAAAGAACAUCGCUUAUGAUUUUCGUUCCUUUGUCCGUAGGGAAUUUCACUGAUCCUUUUCCUUGAGCUUACACCAUUUCACCAUCUCCAAGCUUCACUGAUCCUUUUCCUUGACCUUGUGCAUGCACUAUCGCUAUACCAAUUAUAUCGAUAAAAAUAGGAUGUGUGCGAGAAGACUGACCACUUUGAAUUUGCUUUUGCCUGCAAUACUUCUCAAUAUGCCCAUACUUCUUGCAAUAUCUACAUUGAAUAGGAGAACUCUUGGACUUCUGCCAACAAUUCUUCUCCAAGUGGUUUGUCUUCUUACAAAUACCAUAAAGUGGAAAUUUUCCUCUCCUCGACGAUUCACCUUGGUAUCCACCAGAUUUCACCUCUAGAGUGGUCUAAAGAGACUUUUUUUCCCUACCUUUUAUUGUUUGAAUUUAUUGCUUCCUUGAAAGGCAUCUUUGACUGUCCGUUCGCUUCUCAUGGUUACUCGUUGACCUUGGAUUUGCAACUUAGAGAUCAUCUCUGCUAUUGAAAAAGUAUUCAAGUCACAAGACUUUUCAAUAGCUAAGAUUUUUCAAACUUGUCCGAAAGGCUGACCAAGAUCUUUUGUACAACUUUCUUAUCUGGAAAGUUUUCACUAAGUAUCCUGUUGGAAUUUGCUUUAAGUUACCGCACUAGUUUUUUAGUAAAAUAAAUUAUUUAGAUUAGAAUAAAUUUGAAUUUUGGAUUUUAACUAGGUUGUUAGUUUGUUUAGUUAGUUGAGAUAUUUUAGGUUAUUUUGAAUUUUGAAUUUAUGCUGAUUUUCUUUGUAAGUUGACUAUUUAAAGCCCUUCUAUACUUAAGAAAAACUAUUGAAAGUAUUAAAAGCUUAUUGAAAGCUAUUGAAAGUUAUUCAAUCCAUUGAGAACCAUUUUAACCUUUUCUGCUGCCCCAUCUUUUUUUUUUUGAAAAAAAUAGCAUAUCCUAAUUUGGUUUACAAUAUCCAUCAGCUUGGAAGAGUAUUCUUUCAUACUAUCCGAAUCCUUCAUCUUCAAGAGCUCAAACUCUCUUAAAAGUUAAGACCUUAACAAACUUAACUCUGUUUCUACCUUCAAACUUCUCCUUUACCUUAUUCUAGGCUUCUUUGGCUGUCUCAUAAGCCAUAAUCCUUGUAAACAUCACUUUUGUAAGACUUGAAUAUAUGCAAGUGAGAGCUCUUGGAGAUCUAGUCACCAACUCAUCAUACUUUUUUACAUCAUUGAGAGUUGGUUGUCUCUCGAUGGCUGGACAACAGGUUCUCCUCUCUCAACUACGUCCCACAAGUUGAGAGCCUUCAAAUAAUCCUUCAUUUUAAUGGCCCAAAUAUGAUAAUUCUCGCCAAAAAAAUUGAAGGACCGGUCGUUCAUUGAUUUUCUAGUCCCAUAUUUUCUAGCAAACAGAUCCAAGAAAAGAGCUUAAAAAAGAUGAGUCAAUCAACAAAAACAAAUUCAGAUCCCGUAAGAAAUAGUCUCUUAUACUAUGUCAAAAGAAGGGGGAAGAGGGAUUGAAAAUCAACAAGUUGAAAUAGUGAAAAUUAUGCAGCUGUAAAUUGCUACAAAAAAGACUUCAGUGAAGAAGAAGAAGCUGAAACUUUUUGAGUAUUUUCUAUUUUGUGGAUGGUUGCAAAUUUCUAAUGUCAUCCCUUAUUUAUACUUAUGUAGGCAUGAUUCUAGAUACUACAAAUCUAGAGUGUUCUAUACAAAUAUCUCCCUCAAAUAUCUAGCACCUUCUAAUAUCUAGAUCUUUCCUAAAUAUCAAUAUCAAAUAGACUACACUAUGUCAUUCUAGAUUCUACUACCUAGAAUUACCUAGAUAUAUAGAUAUUUCUUCAACAAGAUUAUCAUAGAAAUUUCGCUAGACUAUUCUAGAGACUUAACUAGAAAUCUAUGAUUCCAAAAAAUCUACUUUAAUAUUUUCACAGCACCUUCUCCAUCUGUUGGUUGGUACUUCUUAUUUUUCUUUAUCUCAUAUCAUCCAUCAUCGUAAUGCUUGGAUGGUAAGGCACCUUCAACAGUUCCUUCCUACAUUAUAACACGUUGUUGCUCUUCUGUAAUUUUGGCUAGGUUCUUAGUAUUUUCUAAGGUUUUAAUGAUAACCUCAAAUCAUUCAAGUACAGUUACAAGGAUUUUCUCAACGAUUCUUGAAUCGUUAAAAGUGGAACCCAACAAUCUGAUGUGAUUUUCUAUGUUAAGAAGUCGGUCAGGGUACUCUUUUAUGGUUUCACGUUUCUUCAUACUUUGUAGCUCAAACUCACGUUCCAAAUUCAACACAUGCAUCACUCGAAUCCUUUCAUCUCCUUCAUACUCAGUCUUGAAAUAACCCUAUACCUCUUUUGCUGAGUUCAAAGACAUGAUACAAGUGAAGACAUUAGAUGAAACUGCAGUAAAUAAGCAUGCCUUUGCCUUUGAUUUCCUGGUUUUCCUCUCUUUGUGAGUUUUAAUCUGCGUCACCUAUGAGUGUUUGGCAAGGGAGAAAUCUUAUAUUCAUCUUCGACAACCUCACAGUGAUCCAAAGCUUCCAGAUAUAUCUGCAUUCUAACUGCCCAGAGUUGAUAACUUUCUCCAUAGAAAGUUGGUGGUGGCAUUGAAGAAAAACUUGCUUCUCCUUUCUUGGCAUUCGCUGAAUCUGACAGGUCCCUGAAGAUUAAAGCCCUAGCCCUGAUACCAUGGUUUUAAAACCAUUAAGGGAAAUAACGUAACAAGGAAAGUAAAAAAAAUUAGGGGCUGAAACAGAGAUAGAGUAAAAGAAGAGUAGACACAAAGAUGUUUUUCUUUUUUUCUAGCUAAAGUAGCCGACCUUUUGAUGAUCACCUCCUAACUUAAAUAGUCGCUAUUACAACUGAAAGUAGGUCAAAACUUACCAUAAUUAGUCCUAUUGAUAUUCUAAAAAAUAAACCAACUAACAGUUUUAUAAACAAAAAUAGGAAUCUCAAUUUGACUAGGAGUCAUAUGUAAAAAGACCGGAGAAAAAAGAAAAGACAAGUAAGUUGCAUUAUUCCUUAAAGCAACUUUUAAAAACAUUAUUCUGCUUUUUUGGUACCAAGUUUCAGAUUUUGACUUUGUUGUAUGAUUAACAUGGAAAGACAUAUUUUUGGUGUUAAAGUACUUCAUAUGUUAAUUAUAACUAUUCCUGCGAUCAUGUCUUUCUACAGAUGUAUACCCUACCGAUAUCAAAUAUUUCACCACGUUAUCAUUGGUAUAUGAGAAUGCCUUAUAAGUUCUUCUAAUAAGUUCACAAAGUUAAGUGUUAUUUCCAUAGGUAAACGAACGGCCAUAAUGAGCAAUUUGGAGUCAUCAUAUAACUCUUUGGCCUGUAGGAAGUGGUUCUAACAUGUUUUAUUCCGGUUUUGGAUUACUUAACAGAGCAAAGAUGGUACUUUGAGAACAGAAAUGGUGACAGCCUAUGAUUUUGAUUACGUAUGAAGAGCAUGUGUUUCCUCUGUGUAUAACAAAACAACUAGACUAUUGGCCUGAGAAAGACAUUCGCGGGAGAACUUGGUAUGCAAUAGCCCUUUCUUUUUAAAUUUCAUUUUGAAAUAUAUAUACAUCUUUCUUUUGCUGACAUGUAGCUUGUUAAAAAUUUCUAUUUCAGAUGAAGGUACCAGAAGCAAGAAAACUCUGCCAAAACAGGUGGAUGAAAGAAGCAUUGGAAAAACUAGUAAGUUCCCUGCAUCACAAAGCAAAUGGACCAAGGGGAACUAUUUCCAAGAAUCAAAUGUACCUCCAGUGGUAGAGUAAUUAUUCUUCCAUUGGGAUGUAGAUAUGAAGCAGUGGAUGAACAAUCUGGCUCACGGUUAAAGUAGUUCAGAGUACUGAUGUUGGAAAAGCAGGGAAUUGUCUACCUUUUUUAUAUCUAACUUUUUUUUUUUAAUCUUGGUGAAGGGAUACAUCCCACUAAAUUGAUGCAUGAACCUAUAGGUUCAAGUCAAACCAUCAUGGUUAGUAAAAUGCCUCCUUGUUUGAACCAUCUGACUUAAUUAAAAAUAUCUAUGGCAACCCCUUGUCAUCAAUCAGAUAAUGUUGUGCUUUAGUAAGUUGUGAAUAGAAAAAAUUAAGAAAUGAUCCCUUCUGUAUGAUGGAGGUUCAAAACAGUCCAUUAAGUAUGCACUUAACAAUUUUGAUCCUUCAAGUUUGUAGUGUAGAUCCAAUCAUCUUGAGCUCGAAUCUCUUCACCGUUCCAGAAAUAUUUCAAAUUGUCGUGUCCACUUCAUACGGUCGUUUGGUUAACGGUGAUCGUCGUGGCAUUGACCAGCUGCUGGCAUGGCUCCCUGUGUUUGGCUAUAGUCCUGUGAUAGUGGAAAUACUUGAUUUUCUCUUCCAUCUUGUGGGUCGUCUUGCCCACCAUAUUCCGUGGUAUGUGCGUGUUAGAGUGGGUAAAAAGUACCACAUUAGUUGGGGAAUGGAUUGCUGGUUUGCUUAUAUGGACUUGGACAAUCCUCCCUCAUGAGCUAUCUUUUGAGGUUGAGUUAGGCUCAAGAUCCAUUCUUGACAUGGUAUCAGAGCCAGGUCCGUCUCCAUUUUGUUCUCCCGGUCCACGCGCCAGUGCCAAUUGGGCCUGAGCGUGAGAGGGGGUGUUAGAGUGGGUACGCGCCAGUGCCAAUUGGGUAAAAAGUUCUGCGGGAAAUGGCUUGGACAAUCUAGCUUGAAUUCGUCUUAAAUUGACUAGUUUUACAUUCAUUUAACCAUUCGAGCACAAUACAAAAGUAUUCAACUAAUCCAAAAAAAACUAAAGACGUCCUUAUUUGAUCAAUUGACGACUUAGCGUCCAAUUUAAGAAUUAAAAACAGUACACUGAUCAAUAAUCUAAGGUAUUAAUACUAUUUCUCACCAAUCAAUGCAAACUGACAAGGGCAAGCUCCAAAUCAAUAUUCAAAAUUAAUCACCCUAAAGUUAGUUCACUCCAAUGCACGUUUUGCUUUAACCAAACAUUGGAUUCUCACAAUGUUCUAAAGAAGCAUGGCUUCCACUUGGACCACACAAGAAUCAAGAGUCAAAAACAUUCUAACCCAAUACUAGUAAUUACUUAACUCUUCCCAUUUAUGGUUAUAAACCCACCUCUUCGUUGGACCAUACCACUACUUUUACAGAAUAAAUAAAACCAUACCACUGCUUUCAAUGAACAAAUAAAGUCAAGUUGUGUUGAUAAAAAAGAUACUGAACUUUUACUUUUUUUUUUCUUUGCAACUUCACCGACUUUUACUUUUAGCGGUCCUUUGUGUACAUAUUAUUGUGGAGUUGGGAGGGUGGAGAGGUGGGUCUUCUAUUACAUAUCAAAGAGAAAUUUCCUAAUACUACUUAAUGGAUGAAUAAUAGUCAGUGAAAAUGAACCAGUUGACUAGGUCCAAUACCAAUAAUUCAACUUUAUUGGAGUAGACCCUAUCUUCAUUGAAAAUUUUCUUAUUUGAAGUCCUAUAUAUAACUUUGUCCCAAACAUCAUCAAUUUUAUCUCGUAUCAUACAACCACAAUCUAUCCACACACUUCUUAUCGUUUUCUUCACAAAUUUUAACAACUUAACUGAAUUCAUGGCAUCAACUUCUUCUUCUGCGAGUAACUCACAGUACUGUCCUCAAUGGAAGUAUGAUAUCUUUUUAAGUUUUAGAGGUGAAGAUACUCGUAACACAAUUACAGGUUACUUGUACGAACGUUUGACAAGGAGGGGAAUAAUCACCUUUCAAGAUAAUAAAAGAAUAGAGCAUGGCGAUUCGAUCCCAGAAGAACUCUUGAAAGCUAUCAAAGAUUCUCAAGUUGCCCUUGUAAUUUUUUCAGAGAAUUUUGCUACAUCCAGAUGGUGCUUGGAUGAACUAGUGAACAUCAUGGAGUGCACAAAGGACGAAAAUGGAAAAACAGUAAUACCAGUCUUCUAUGGUGUGGAUGCAACAGAUGUUCGAAACCAAAGUAAAAACUUUGCUAAAGCAUUUGUCAAACACGAAUUAAAGUAUAAUGAUGAUGGUGAGGGGAUGCAGAAGGUGCAAAGAUGGAGGACUGCCCUAACUGCUGCCGCAAAUCUAAAAGGAUAUGUAUUCCCUAACGGGUGAGUUAAACACACACAUAUAUGUUAUUCGUGACUUUUUUGUUCCUAUAUAUUACCAAAUCAUUUUUUGUAGGGUUGAAUCAGACUGUAUUGAGCGUAUUGUGGAUGACAUUUCGUCCAAAUGCAAGACUUCAGGAUCUUAUUCGUACAAAGUUGUGGGAAUAGAUACUCAAUUAGAGAAAGUAGAAUCCCUAUUAAAGAUGGAAAUUGAUGAUGUUCGGAUAGUGUGGAUCUGGGGAAUGGGGGGACUUGGUAAAACAACAAUAGCAAAUGCUAUUUAUAAUAAACUCUCAUCCAGCAAAUUUAAAGAUGCCUGUUUCCUUGAGGAUAUUAAAGAAAACAAACAUAGAAUGUACUCUCUGCAAAAUAUCCUUCUCUCUAAACUGUUAGGGGAAAAAGAAAAUUGCGUGAAUAAUAAGGAGGGGAGGAGCAUGAUGGCUCGUAGACUUCGGUUUAAGAAGGUUUUAAUUGUGCUUGAUGACAUAGAUCAUAGAGACCAGUUGGAUUACCUAGCAGGGGAUCUUGGUUGGUUUGGCAAGGGAAGUAGGAUUAUUGCAACCACGAGGGACAAAUGCUUGAGAGGGGAAUAUGAUGUAGUAUAUGAAGUGGAAACAUUACUUGAUUGUGAUGCUCUUGAACUUUUCAAUCAAUAUGCUUUCAUGGAAAAAGUUCCAGAUGAGUGUUUUAAAGAUAUAACAUUGGAGAUAGUAAGUCAUGCUAAAGGCCAUCCUUUAGCCCUGAAAGUGUGUGGUUCUUCAUUACACGGGAAGGGUAUAAUUGUGUGGAGAAGUGCUUUAGACCUAAUGAAGAAAAACUCUAGUUCAGAAAUUAUUGAGAACCUCAAAAUAAGUUAUGACAGGUUGGAGCCUGACGAGCAAGAGAUAUUUCUGGAUAUAGCAUGUUUCUUCAGAGGAAAAGAAAAAAAAGAUGUCAUGCCAAUCCUUGAAAGUUGUGGUUUUCCAGCUGAAUAUGGAUUGAGUGUACUAAUCGACAAAUCUCUUGUGUUCAUCUCUGACCAUAAUAAAAUUCAAAUGCAUGACUUAAUACAAGAUAUGGGUAAAUAUAUAGUGAAAUUGCAAAAGGAUCAGGGCGAACGUAGCAGACUAUGGCUAGCCGAAGAUUUCGAAGAAGUGAUGGUCAACAAUACAGUAAGUAGGCUAAGCAAUGCAAUACUAUUCAAUUUCUAGUUUUCAUCUUCCAAAUUUGUCAUGACCCGAACCAGGGCCUGGCCGUGACGAGCAUUUCGAACCAUAGAGGCCCGAAACACCCCUAUCUGUCUGGUAAUCAUGCACCUAAUUCAUAUGAUCAAAGUAAUGCGGAAGAAACACAAUAAUUCGGAAACAUGGUCAUAAAUAUGAAAAGAAACAAUAACGGGGAGAUAAGGUUCCCUCAACAUCAAUUAACCUCUAAACAACUGUCUGUGAAAAUCUCAAACAAAUGACUAAGUCAAGUAACCGUAUAUAAACUGGGACAAGGCCCCCAGUAGACCCCCAAAACUGUAUAUAAGAUAAAAGGACAUAAGACCUUCCGAAAUAUAGAAGGCUCACCACUUGUCUCUGCAACUCUGUCUGAAUGAUCUACUAAUUCUCUUGACCCCUAGACUGGGCCUCUGAACCUUGUGAGGUUGGAGAGGGGAGGGGGUCAGCACAAAAGUACUGGCACGCAGAGAUAUCAAAACAAAAUAUAAUAUUUUUACAAAAUAUGGUUGAGAGCCAUUAUAAAGAAAUUUCGUAUCAAAUUAUUUGAAAUCACAUGGGCGUAAUGCAAUAGUUUUCUCAACAAUCAAUGAAAUGCAACUGAGCUAGGUGGAAUACCCUACAUAAUUUACACCAACUGUCAAACCUCGGUUGCCGCUGAGAUUAGAGUAUAAGUGAGGUAGAGACACACAAGACACAUAGCAUGGUGUCUGGACCCAAUGGUAGUGCCCAAGAUCACUUAGCCCGGGAUCCUACCUAUAGUCCCAAUUUGGGAAUGACAUGAAGUCAAGUACACAAGAUCACUUAGCCUGGUACCAANNNNNNNNNNNNNNNNNNNNNNNNNNNNNNNNNNNNNNNNNNNNNNNNNNNNNNNNNNNNNNNNNNNNNNNNNNNNNNNNNNNNNNNNNNNNNNNNNNNNNNNNNNNNNNNNNNNNNNNNNNNNNNNNNNNNNNNNNNNNNNNNNNNNNNNNNNNNNNNNNNNNNNNNNNNNNNNNNNNNNNNNNNNNNNNNNNNNNNNNNNNNNNNNNNNNNNNNNNNNNNNNNNNNNNNNNNNNNNNNNNNUCAAGAGAGGAAAUUUCAUAUCAUUCAUGCUCUCAAGUUAACAUCUUUUCGGAAUACAUGCAUAUACAUAUAUCAUUAGCAAAUCACUUUGGGAGUAGGCCUAAAGGCCAAAUCAAUAUCAUAAAACGUUUAAAACAUAAUCAUAUUCGUAAUUUCAAAACCUCAUUUGAAAACAUGAAUUUUUAAAGCCCAUGAGAUUUUUGAGAUAACCCCACGCACCUCUAUAUGCGAAUAUGAUAGGUUCUUCUUGAAGCCUACGUUGUGGAGAUUCCAAAUCUUCAAUUUGUUUUGAAAACCCAUGGUUGAAUCUUGAACUAUUUGGGUUUUUAUUUUGAAACCCUAGAGAGAGUUCUUGAACAAAUUGGAUGAAUGAAGGUGUAUUUUGGGGUCUUUGGGAACUGAAUUUCGUGUUUAUGGCUAAAUAAGGGUGGAAAAGGACCAUUUUGCCCCAAAAACGGAGUGUUUAAGUCACCUGAAACUUUUACAUAGGCGGUGCCUAUGCUAUCGCCUAUGUUUACAUCGGCGCCGCCUACUUCUUUGAAAGGCCAUAACUUCUUGCUCGGGUGUCGGAUUUUAGCAAAAUUGGUAUUGUUGAAAAGCUAAAUCGAACACCUAUCAUUUGACACAUAGUAGGCUCUGUAAUUCAACAUAUACAGAUAGUUAUGGUCAAUGGAAACUGACACAAAUUACAACGUCCACUAAAACUUAAUAGAUUGAAAAGUUUCAACUCGCCCUUGAGUUGAAGGACCUCUAUGGUCUAAAUUCAAGCUUGAAUGGAUUCACAUACUACACAAUUAAUUAACAUGUCAUAUUGGCAUAGGAUUUAUGGCUUCGAGAUUAUCAACGCAUCGAAAUCAUGGUUUUUAUUCUAGCCCAAAAUGCGGGGUGUUACAUUAUCUCCCUCUUGGGAUCAUUCGUCCUCGAAUGAUAGGUAAGAACAUAUUGAAGCUUAGAGGUAUGGAAUAACACGGACACGACAUGUCCUCUAAUAAAGAAUACACUGAUCUGAAACAUGACCAUUUGGCUGGAACUACUAAUGUUAUGAAUUCUUAUACCAAACAUGCAAAUUUGAUGCAUGGAAUACAUGACUGAAGCUAUUCAUAAGCUGAAUUCUCAUAAUGAACAAGCAUAUCUGAUGCAUGGAUCUGUGACUGAGUUGUUCUCAUGAACGAAGGACUAAAUAUACUGAUAAGCUAAACUUUUUCUAUUGAACAUGCAUUUUUAAUACAUGUAUAUCUGACUGAACUGACGUAUGAACGUAUGACUGAAUACGCAAUGGCAACUGGUGCGGAGCUUGUAAUAAGAAUCUAUGCAUGCAGUUGAAUGGGGUAUCUCCCCCUUGGGACCUUACGUCCCUCUAUGAAUGUUUAAUUCACUAAGAUACUCGAAAAACUGAGGCGAUGCACAGGGCACCUAUGAAUUGAAUCAUAACUGAACAUUUGGAAUCUGAAUUUAAUGCAUGAUGCAUGAACUGGGCUAUACUCGUAACUACUGGUAUACUCUAUCUUGGAAUAGUAGCAUGUCUGAGAUUUUGAGUAGCAUGAAUAAGUGCAAAGAUGAGAAAACAAGUCAUGCGAAUCUGACUGCUAAACUAACUUAUUGUUCAUACAGACUGAAUUAUACUACACCCUCAUACUUAACUGGAGUACUCUCUUCAAAACUUUCUCUAAGGAAGCUCUAGCAGUAAUAGGGAGCCAUGCAUCUUGGGUACGGAUUACACAAGACAUCCAACUGAGGAAAUCACAACAUUGACACUACUCUGCAUUCUAGAAUAUAGAAAUAUAACUCCUAAAUUAGGAUAGAAUUUUCAGACCUUUGGCAAUACAGCUUCUUACUUUCAGGCUUAGAGCACUUCCCGAAUAUCCCUUGACUUUACUAUUCCCUAUAACUACCAUAUUCAUUCAACUCAGCUUAAAAUUCUCAUAUGAGCAUUGACAAAUCUUUCUACUAAUGUCGGAAAUAACUUAAUCCCUUCGCCGUGAUCAAGCCUAACUCUAAGUCAUAAAACAAAAUACAACAUGCCAGACCACGCUAUUAUUCUAAACCAUAUGAUGCCACCUUCUAUAUCUCCUUUAAAGAUCACAUCCUAAGUAUAACAUGCCUUACCACUUCAAUGACUACUAUAUGAAGUCGUUAAUGCAUAUUGCGACCUUCCACUACAAUCCCAAAAUGUCAUUCUAGCCUAAUUUAUAACCAUAUGUUAACUUCAAGGCAACCACACAUAAAUACAUACUUCACAUAGUUUCUAAACUAUUGUCAAUAUAACUCCCACGCGCUACCCUAAGACAUAUACACACAAAAUUUUCCACUAAAUAUCACAUGUAUCAAAGACUUGGCCCCAAAUGUUACUUCAUACUUAUGGCCUUAUCUAAAGAAUCAUACUAUGAUCUUCCAUCAACAAGAACAUUUACAUCAUCACCACUAUCAUUUCACAGGAAGGGUCACUAAAAGGUUAAAACAUAAGACCCUCAAGCGUGAAAAGAUCUUUAUACAGGACUGAGCACACUAUAAAGAGUGAGUACAUGCGUCAUGAGUUGCAUGACCUCAACUAGAGUUCAUAACAUAAGGAAUAUGAUUUCAACUACUUGAAUGAACUGGAACUCAUUAUCUUGGAAUUGGAAGAGUAUGUGACUCUCUAUUAUAUACCGGAAUCAUGAACUAUUAUCACGAAACUAAAUCGUAAGGCAUGAGUAAGCUUCUGGAUAACAAAAAAAUACUGAGGUAGGAAUGGGUUGAGAUUCACCCUCACUUUCUAAUGUUCUAAAUCAUAUACUGCAUCACUACUAGAAUCUGAGAGCCUUACUUGGUUAUUCAUUCUAUCAUCUCCCCCUUAGCUUCAAGUCAUCAUCUAGAGUUCGGGAGAUCCCUUACCAUAUUCUAACUGAACUACACUUACUGUACUCUAGGGUCUGAAAGAAAAAAAUGACAAUACAUGCAUAUCGUAGACUUAAACCGAAUGACUACCUUCUGGGAUACACUCUAUCUUUCCAUAGCCACCAAUAGUCAUAGUAUAAUACUUGCACACUUAUUUAUAUCGGUUCAACCUUCAAAACUCAAACUUAGAUUCUAACACUUAAUAUGGCUAUUUAGAUCACCAUAUACCAUCUAACUAGUCUUUCUCCACUUAACAAUUCAAUGGAACCACUAGCCACACAAAUUAUGUAAUAGUCUUAGAAAAAAUAUGCCGCAACCUCAUAUCACCUUGGCAUACUUCUACACCAUACCUACAACAUUAUACUUCAUUACGAAUCAAUUUAAACUUAAGAUAUAUCAUACACCGUUCAAUCCUAUUAGAUCACUUUCAUAUAAAUAAUAUCAUUGAUCAAGAAAUCAUCACAUCCACCUUUAUGAACUUCAACUGUUCAAACUUAAUGUCUAGUGCUAUGUAUGAUUUACAACCCAACCUUACACAAAAUUUUCACUUGGAAACUAUAAAUAAACAUCACGAAACACUAGUGCACUAGAACUUCAUAACCACAAUAAUCGAUCAUGACCUAACGGUUUUCCUUAUCAUAAUCCGUUAGCAUGCACUAUUUCAGUACCUCAAGCCUACUACUUUAAUCCCACAACCAUACACCAUUAAUCUCAUGCCACUAUUCUUACAUCCACAUCCAAGCCUAUAGUUUAGUAUCAAUCAUCUACCACCAAUGAAGAAUGCAACAUAAUAUAAAUAUACUAAUCCAUCAAAUUGGGACAUUCUACCCGAAUAUCUCAAAAAUCUAUUACAUACCUUCUCACAAGUGGCACUAGUUUACAACUACCAAUGAAAAGAGGGUCAAGGGGGUUAAAGCCUCAUAAUAGACAUGGUCAACCUUAUCCUUAUAUUAUAACCCCGUACAAUUGUAUCUAAUUAUACUGCUUUCUCACAUCAUAAUUACUUACCCAAGCGUACAUUUACACUACCUUCAAAUUUCUCAAAAAACCAUGAGUCUAUAAUCAUAACUUACUCGCUAAUAUAGCCAUUUUCACAUUCAAGCAACCAACAAAUCACCCUGACCAACAACUCCUUCUCUACCUUAUACUAAUAACACACAAGGAAGAAUCACUUCAUUACCAACUCUAUCUCAUGCAAAUAGAUUCAGCCAUACAUAUAUUAAACCAAUGAAAGAACAAUAAGUUGGACCACAAGUUGCUAGUGAAUCGAAACAGGCCUCACACGGCUUCACUAGACUUUGGUUUUGUAUUUUGAACAAGAAAAUGGGAUGAAUGACAAGUCAACUAUGCUAGUGAAUCGAAAGAGCCCCACAUGGCUUCACUAGACUUUUUAGUUUCAUCAACACAAUGAUAAAAUAUUUUCAAGAGAUAGAAACUUGUCACACAAUAGUCCAUAAUCUGAAAAUACACAUCUUACUUUGUAUAGAUAAAAAUCUGAGUCAAAUAUUUCCCCCACAGAUUAUGAUACAAUCCAUACAUAUUACUAGCUACCAACAGGUCAUGACACUGACAAUUUAACUUAUACUACUAUUUGGGUGGAAAUACAAUUCCAACACUCCUACUACAUAUCUUUUCCUUUAAGAUGACAUCUGCAACAUAAAUUUCUGAAAAGGGCCGAAUAUACUCAAUACAGAAGGCUGAAAAGUAUGAUUUCAUCAAGAUCAAGGUUCAAACUAGAACCCAUACACUCUAAAGCAAUAAUCGACUCUUCUCAAGUCCUUGCACAAUUUUAAGAUCUUAUAUGACGCGAUCCGAAGGGACAAUACCAUUUAGACUUUAAACUUCUUCACUUGAAUCACCCCAGUAAUGUGACGAGUCUGAGAACAUCCGAGUAAGAAAAGAAUUUGGGAUGAUUUUACUUUUGUAUGGACGUCACCAUAGCACGAAUUAAAGUAUGAAGGAGGAACAUUCUAACUCUGUUAAUCGAACUAGAACAUGAAGAAAGAGAGACAUUCUUAAACGUCUUGUAGCCUCCUGCUAAUAAGUGUGGCGUGCUACACACCCAUAAAUAAGAAUCUACCUGCCGCAAUUUCACAGACACCCUGGGACCAUGAACCAUGCUUUGAUACCAAGUUUGUCAUGACCCAAACCAGGGCUUGGCCGUGACGAGCAUUUCGAACCAUAGAGGCCCGAAACACCCCUAUCUGUCUGGUAAUCAUGCACCUAAUUCAUAUGAUUAAAGUAAUGCGGAAGAAACACAAUAAUUCAGAAACAUGAUCAUAAAUAUGAAAAGAAACAAUAACGGGGAGAUAAGAUUCCCUCAACAUCAAUUAGCCUCUAAACAAUUAUUUGCGAAAAUCUCAAACAAAUGACUGAGUUAAGUAACCGUAUAUAAACUGGGACAAGGCCCCCAGUAGACCCCCAAAACUGAAUAUAAGAUAAAAGGACAUAAGACCUUUCGAAAUAUAGAAGGCUCACCACUUGUCUCUGCAACUCUUUUUGAAUGAUCUACUGAUUCUCUUGACCCCUAGACUGGGCCUCUGAACCUUGUGAGGUUGGAGAGGGGAGGGGGUCAGCACAAAAGUACUGGCACGCAGAGAUAUCAAAACAAAACAUAAUAUUUUUACAAAAUAUGGUUGAGAGCCAUUAUAAAGAAAUUUCGUAUCAAAUUAUUUGAAAACACAUGGGUGUAAUGCAAUAGUUUUCCAACAACAAUGAAAUGCAACUGAGCUAGGUGGAAUACCCUACAUAAUUUACACCAACUGUCAAACCUCGGUUGCCACCGAGAUUAGAGUAUAAGUGAGGGAGAGACACACAAGAUCACAGAGCAUGGUGUCUCGACCCAAUGGUAGUACCCAAGAUCACUUAGCCCGGGAUCCUACCUAUAGUCCCAAUUUGGGAAUGACAUGAAGUCAAGUACACAAGAUCAUUUAGCCUGGUACCAAUAUUUCGUGUCGGCAAACACGUUUUCCAGCGAUGAGCCCUUACAUCUCAAAUGCCUUCUUCGGGCAUCGACCUUUCUUAUGUAAAAUCAAUGCAUUCAAAUUUUAUCUGAUUCAAUCACAUAUCAUGUUCUGUAGGGUAUCAUCAUACCCGACUUGCAAGUCCUCAAUAUCACUUCCAAAUAUGCAUAACCAUGUAAAAACCAAGGUGCUUCAUCAUUUACAAGUGGUNNNNNNNNNNNNNNNNNNNNNNNNNNNNNNNNNNNNNNNNNNNNNNNNNNNNNNNNNNNNNNNNNNNNNNNNNNNNNNNNNNNNNNNNNNAUAUUUAUCAAACUUUUAUGAAAAAUCUCAAAUCAUAUAUGCAUGGUUUCAACCAUUGAAGUAUAUAGACAAACAAUUCCCAUGACAUAAAGAAAAAUGACUUAGAAAUCAUAUUGAAAUCAAGUUAUUAGCAUUUGAUUGAAAACCCCUAUUUAGAAGCAUGGAUGUUCAUAAAAACUACACCCAUGAGAUUUUAGGAUAACCCCACGUACCUCUAUAUGCAAAUAUGAUAGGUGCUUCUUGAAGCCUACGUUGCGGAGAUUCCAAAUCUUCAAUUUAUUUUGAAAACCCAUGGUUGAAUCUUGAACUAUUUGGGUUUUUAUUUUGAAACCCUAGAGAGAGUUCUUGAACAAAUUGGAUGAAUGAAGGUGUAUUUUGGGGUCUUUGGGAACUGAAUUUCGUGUUUAUGGCUAAAUAAGGGUGGAAAAGGACCAUUUUGCCCCCAAAAAAUGGAGUGUUUAAGUAACCUGAAAUCUUUACAUAGGCGGUGCCUAUGCUAUCGCCUAUGUUUACAUAGGCGCCGCCUACUACUUUGAAAGGCCAUAACUUCUUGCCGGGUGUUGGAUUUUAGGAAAAUUGGUAUCGUUGGAAAGCUAACUUGACGACCUAUCAUUUGACACAUAGUAGGCUCUCUAAUUCGACAUAUACAGAGAGUUAUGGUCGAUGGAAGCUGAAACAAAUUACAACGUCCACUAAAACUUAAUAGAUCAAAAUAGUUUCAACUUGUCCUUGAGUUGAAGGACCUCUAUGGUCUAAAUUCAAGCUCGAAUGGAUUUACAUACUACGCAAUUAAUUAACAUUCCAUAUUGGCAUAGGAUUUAUGGCUUCGGGAUUAUCAACGCAUCAAAAUCAUGAUUUUUAUUCUAGCCCAAAAUGCGGGGUGUUACAAAAUUCAUAUAGGGUGAAUUCCAAUUUCAAAUUAUCCAUUUAUCUUACUUCAUAUUAUCCGUAUCCAUGUAAGUCAUUUCAGUUAUUUACUUUAGAAGGAGAAGCAAAAGUAGCAUUAAUUUGCUAAUGCUGCCUAGUUUGUUUUUAUUAUGUUAUUAAGCCAUGAACUAGUCUAGAGUAGAGCCAUUUUAUCUAUUUAAUCCAAUUUCAUUCCUUGGAUUAACUUGAAAGUUGUGUGAUAUUUGUACGUAAUAACUCAACCAGGAAUUCACUUCACCAUUGAUUAUUUUACAUUUUUAGAAAAUUACAAUUUAAAAAGGCCAACUCUACAUAAAAGAGGUGCGAAUGCUUGGGGCCAGUUCCUCAGGAAACCAGUUGGUUGAUUUUCUAGAAGAGCAUUUCCAUCAUAGGAUAAAUAGGUAUGGAUAUAGAGGCUUUCAUUGUCUGACACCUCUGCUAGGCUUGAAUAAGUCUGUUCUACUUCCAUUUACCAGAUGGAGGAUGUAGAAAUGUAGGACAUGAUGAGGCUGAUCAAAUUGUGGGGAAAUCUGAUGUAGCUAAGGGUGUGUUAAAUGAAGGACCAUUACUAUCAAAGGCUUUUUCAAGAUCAAUCUUUAGAAUGAGGCUACCUUUCCUGCCUUUCUGUUGUUGGAACUGAGAGAUGAAUUCUUAGACAAUGAUUGCAUUUCAGAGGUUCUUCUACCAGAGAGGAAGUUGGAUUGAGUGGGACCAAUGAGAGAGGGAAGGUAGGGCUUGAUCCUAUGGAUUGCAAUUUUGGUCACAAUCUUAUAGAGGCUAUUACAUAGUCCAAUGGGUCUAUAAUUUCUAGGAUGGUGGCAUUGGGACACUUUGGAAUGAGACAAAGAAAGUUUAAUUUACCUCAGGGUUCAUUUUAUGAGAUUGGAAUGCUUCGUUAACAAAGUUGUUGACCUUCUCGUGCACAGUAUUCCAAUAUUUUUGGAAGAAAAAGGGGUGGAGGCCAUGAGGGCCGGGAACUUUCAUAGGUUUGAGGGAGAAGACAACUUGUUUGGUUUCAUGAUCCUCAAGGUUCCUGCUAAGAUGGUUUUGGGAUGUGAGGUCAAGAGGGGGGCCAUGUGUGUCAAUGAAAUGACAGUUACUGGGGAGCUAAAAUGAUCAGUAGUACAAAGGUUGGAGUAGAAGGACACAAUGGAGAGUCUAAUAUCAUUGUGGUUAUAGAUCCAGCUGCCCACCUUAUCUUGGAGGCUUAGGAUUCUAUUUCUUCUUCUUCUACUAAUAAUGGGUUGAUGGAAGAAUUUGGUGUUCUCAUCCAGUUUCAAUUACAAUUCCAUUCUAACAUUGCAUGAGAAGCUUUGAGAUUUUGCAAAAAGAACUACAGAAUUAAUUGCACAAAGUAAACUAAUUAUCUUUCUUUAUCAGGGGACCAAGGCAAUGGAAGCAAUCUGGUUUCAUUAUCGGCAAAAAUUAUGCUUUAGCAAAGAGGCCAUGAAAAAUAUGAAAAGUCUUAGGAUAUUAUACAUAUGUCAGGAGUACGCAUUCAGAUGCAUCAAUUGCCAUGAUGGCUCCUUUGAGUACCUUUCAAACAAAUUGCGUUGGUUUUCCUGGAAUCGUUAUCCUUGGGAGUCAUUGCCAGCUAAAUUUGAACCCAAAAAGCUUGUUUAUCUUCAACUAAGGUUCAGUUCACUGCAUCAUUUAUGGACCGACACAAAGGUACAAACAUUCUUUUCUUGUAUUUUAAUAAUAAUUCUUUUACCUAGCUAUUCUUGUUUUUCUAUCUCAUUUUCUCCAUUCUAAACAGCAUUUGCCGUCUCUACAAAAGCUAGAUCUCAGGGACUGUAAAAGCCUGACACAAACACCAGAUUUCACCGGGAUGCCAAAUUUGGAGUAUUUGUAUCUGAGACCUUGUAGUAAUCUUGAAGAGGUUCAUGGUUCCCUGGGAUGUUGUAGAAAACUCAUUCGAUUAGAUUUGAGUGAUUGUGGAUGCCUGAAGAAGUUUCCAUGUGUUAACGUUGAAUCUCUUGAAUAUCUGACUCUACAAUACUGCUCUAGUUUAGAGAUAUUUCCAGAGCUACUAGGAAGAAGUAAGCUGGAGUUAGAGAUUUCGGUGAGAAGCACUAGGAUAAGGGAGCUACCAUCAUCUAUUCAAUACCAAACUCAUAUUACCAAGCUAGAUUUAAGUCAUUUGGAAGACCUUGUAGCUCUUCCAAGAAGCAUCAGUAUGUUGAAAAGCUUGGUGGAUCUAUAUUUGUGGGGUUGUGAACAACUUGAAAGCUUGCCAGAAGAGAUAGGAGAUCUAGAAAACUUGGAGAUGCUUGAUGCCCAACAAACCCUAAUUUCACGACCUCCGUCUUCCGUCAUGUGCUUGAACAAACUUAAAUCCUUGAAGUUUGGAAAUGAUAUUGAAGAAAUAGGGUAUUCAGAAGGCUUCAAAGAUGAACUGUACUUUGUGUUCCCACCGGUAACAGAAGGAUUGUGUUCAUUGGAAUAUCUGGAUCUCGGUAACUGUAAUUUAAUAGAUGGAGGACUUCCGGAAGAUAUUGGAUGCUUAUCCUCUUUGAAAAAGUUGCAUCUCAAUGGAAAUAAUUUUGUGUAUUUGCCUCGAAGCAUUGCCCAUCUUGGUGCUCUUCAAUCCUUGAACAUAACAAACUGCAAGAGACUUAAAGAGUUACCAGAUUUCACCAGGAUGCCAAAUUUGGAGUAUUUGUAUCUGGGAUCUUGUAGUAAUCUAGAAGAGGUUCAUGAUUCCCUGGGAUGUUGUAGAAAACUUAUUCGGUUAGACUUGAGUUAUUGUGAAAGCCUUAACAGGUUUCCAUGUGUUAACGUGGAAUCUCUUGAACAUCUGGAUAUACAAGAUUGUUCUAAUUUAGAGAAAUUUCCAGAAAUCCUUGGAAGAAUGAAGCCGGAGUUAGAGAUUCACAUGAGACCCUCUGGGAUAAGGGAAAUACCAUCAUCUAUUAUUCAGCACCAAGCUCAUCUUACAGAGCUGGAUUUUAGAUUCAUGAAUAACCUUGUAGCUCUUCCAAGUAGCAUUGGCAUGUUGAAAGGUUUGGUGGAGCUAGUUGUGUCGUACUGCUCAAAACUUGAAAGCUUGCCGGAAGAGAUAGGGGACUUAGAAAACUUGGAGGAGUGCGAUGCCAGCUAUACUCUAAUUUCACGACCUCCGUCUUCCUUCGUCCGCUUGAACAAGCUUAAAUUCUUGUAUUUUGAAAAACUAAAAUCAAAAGAUAGUGUGCUCUUUGUGUUCCCUCAAGUGACUGACGGGUUAUGCUCCUUAGAAUAUUUGAAUCUCACUGCAAUAUAAUAGAUGGAGGACUUCCAGAGGACAUUGGAUGCUUAUCCACUUUGAAAAAGUUGAAUCUCACUGGAAAUAAUUUUGAGCAUUUGCCCCGAAACGUAGCCCAACUUGGUGCUCUUGAGUACUUUGACUUAUCACAUUGCAAGAGGCUCAAAGUGUUACCAGAUUUCACUGGGAUGCCAAACUUGGAGACUUUGAAUCUGUCCUAUUGUAUGAAUCUUGAAGAGGUUGAUCAUUCCAUGGGAUUUCUCAGAAAGCUCUUGAGAUUAGAAUUGAAUAAUUGUAAACGGCUGAAGAGGUUUCCAUCUCUGUACAUCGAUUCCCUCAAAUAUCUGGAUCUAGAGGGGUGCUCUACUUUAGAAAAUUUUCCAGAAAUCCUUGGAAGCAAGAAAAUGAAGUCGGAUAUUCACUUGCUAGACAAUGUGAUGAGGGAUCUAAAUUUGAUGUAUAUUUCAUUUCCACGCUCCUUGUCUCAGUAUAUCAUUCCCUUGCAGCAUGGCAUCUCUGCUUCAGAUUCCUUGUCACAGAGAGUGUUCACAGUUGAGCAUGGUGGGAAUAAGAUCCCAAGUUGGUUCCACGAUCAGGGAACGGAUAGAAGUGUAUCAGUCAAUUUGCCUGAAAAUUGGUACAUACAUGAGAACUUCUUGGGAUUUGCUGUAUGUUUCUCUGGCAGCUUAAUUUAUGAAACCACAGUUACAUUGAUUCCAUUAUGUGAUGAUGAGAUGUCAUGGAUGACCCAGAAACUAAUACUAUCAUUCUCCCUUUCAAAAUGGGGUACAGGACCUAAGAUUCAUUUUUUCGUAUUACCUCUUUCAAGCUUAUGGGAUACAUCUAAGGAAAAUGGGAAAACACCAAAUGACUAUGGGUGCAUUGUGUUAUCUUUUUCUGGAUUGAUGAGUGAGUUUGGAUUUCGUUUGUUGAAUAAAGAUGAACUAGAUCUUGAGGCUUCAUUACAAAUGAGGGAACAUAAGGAUGAACCAAUAGAACAUUGCAUUGGGACUAGUAGUGAACAACAUGACUCCAUGACCAAUGAAGCCAGUUGCUCCUCUUCUAGGAAAAAUUCUAAUAUUCGUGGGAAAGUCGCCAGUCUCUUCAGAAACAUUGCAGCUCUUUCUUGCAAACCCAGGACUUAAGUAUAGGUAAUAUACAACAAGACUUGCUUUAUUUUUCUAGUUGGUAGUUGAAUUGUGUUCUCUCAUUUUAUGUUACUCUCUCCUUUUAUUAGCUACGGAGUCUUUUUCCAAAACAGAUGAUAUUUUCCUAUUCGUUCGUUCUUCGUUUUCCCUUUUUGUUUUCAUUAUUUCUUCUUUUCCAUAUUGAUAGAAUGUUGUUGGAUUUUAGCUUUGAAAUUAAAGAAAUACUGCAAUUGUAUUGUCAAAGGAAAUUGUUUUAUUAAUAAAACAAACACAUACAUUUAUAACUAAAUUUCUAACUAAACUUCCAUUCAAAUUCAAAUAACAGGAUAACUAAUUCCUGAGACUAAGCCACACAGAAUUCCAAUAAUUUAAAACUAUUAAUAGUUAUCUAGUUCUACUUUAUUUCUGAGACAUAUCUUCAAUACUCCUCCUUGAAUCAGAAAUUGUAGAUUGAAGGCUCGAAUGAAUUUGAUGUAACACCCCGUAUAAUUCUUGGCUUGAUUUAACUCUUAGUUGUAUGCAUAGGGAGUUUAAGGCCAAAAACUUUUGUAAGUGUUGGGGACAUAGUCAUAUUUUAAGCCUCUUAACUUCGAGAAUUUUGUAAUUGAUCUUUCCGACCCUGAAACAUAGACUUUUGAAUUAAUUCAUGUUCGGGGAUGUAAUGGGCAUGUCUCAGAAAAUUUUUUGAUUUUUCGGAUGGGGGUUGGGUUGUGUUUGGUUUUCGGUUCCAGAACUUCACUGCGAUAGCGGUGCAUCGCGGUGAGACCUUUACCGCAUUGCGGUGCCCUUGUCAUCGGCGUUCCAAUCACGAAUUUAAUUUCCAGAAAGGAAAUGUGGUCUUUUCCUCUCAUUUCAAUUCGUAAAUUGACGUAUUAUAUCAUCAAUUAGGGCAAAUAUUUCCCAUUCUCAUCAAUUAUACUCUCAAGCAAACCCUUCUCUCUUCCCAAAAACAAGAAUUCAAUUCUCUCAAGUUCAAGAAUUGCAAGAAAAUAGCAAGAUUAGGGUUUCAUUCUUCAAACAAAGAAACUUAAGGUAUGUGGGACUAUCCUAAGCUUCUUGAGCAUAAGUUUUUGUGGUUUUUGUUAAAUUUAAAGAUAUAUAAUCAUGUUUACAAAGAGGGUUUUUUGACAUUGUUUUGAAUAACAUGUAUUAUGAACUUAUUUUGAUGGAAGUAAAUGUUUGUCUUGAAUCCCUUUUUAUAAAAUUGAACUAUAACCAUAUUUAUAUAUGCGUUUUUAGUUUUGCAAAGUUUGAUUGAGAGCAUGAAUAACGAAACUCCUCUCUUGUUGUGAUACCUCUUGAUUUUACAUGUUAUGGGUUGUUCAAUUGCAUGUUUAGAAGCAUGAGAUAAACGUUUUACUAUUGUUAUGGACUUGAUAAUGGUUAUGAAUUAAGGAGAGGAUGUUUUCUUGUUUAUAAAUAUUCAAUGUAAUGAGUUGAAAGAAGUGCAUGGAUUGUCAUAAAGAAAUUGACCAUCAUGUAUUAACUAUUGAAAAGAGAGAAUCUUUGCAAGGGUUUUGACAUGUUUUGAAAUAAGGACUCUCUGCUAUUGUUUAAAUGUUUUAGUGGUCAAAUGAUUUGAUUGGAUUGAAAUUCUAAAGUAUAUCAUGAUAUGGCUUAUGUAUAGAUGUGACUUGCAAGUCUGGGUAUGACGAUACCAAACAGAUGAAUGCCAUAAUAGAUUCAGAACAAAUUUGGAAUAAAGAAUUUAUGCAGAUUUUUAGAUUUUGAGUUCAGAAAGAUUCAUGUCAAUAAGAUUAAAAAUGGGCUUUAAGAGAGUUAGGUGGUUACCCGAAGAAGGCACAAGUUCAGAUAACUCAUUGUCCAAAAUCGUGUUUUGCCAAUACUGGUUUGAUUAUUUCCCAAGAUAGGGACUAUAUAUUAGCCUUGUGCCCUUUGGCGUAUUAGAUGUAGAGACUCCAACCCUUGCGACAAACAUGGGUUGGGGGCUUGAACGCCGAGUUAAAGGCAGAUUCUAUAUAGUCCGUGCAAUUGUAGAUAUGUAGGGUGUACCACCUAGCUCAGAAGUAAGACUAAGAGUCGAGUUGAGAUUUAUACAUAUGUUUUGAAGCCUAUUGAUUAUGCCCAUGUAUUUUCAAUUGUCUUACGAUGACAUAUUUUUUAUUUAUGAAAUGCUCUCACUUACAUUGUAUAUCAGUAUUUUAUUUUUUGGUUGUUCUACGUACCAGUACAUUAUGUAUUAACCCCCUAUAUUUCAGGAUCUGAGGCUCAGUCCCGGGGUCCCGCUAAGUAGUAGAUCAUUGUCAGACGUUUAGAGUUGGUGAGCCUCCAUUAUUUCGAAAGGCCUUGCUUCAUCUGAUUUUUUUAAUUAGUUUUAGUUCAUGGUACGUCUGGGGAACUUGUCCCGAUUUCAGACAGAUGUUGUUUUCAGUUUAGUAGAGAUUUUGCAGACUUGUGUUAGAUGGUUUUGGGUCUUUUAUGAACUUAUAUCCACGUUGGCUAGUUGAAUUAAUAAGAUGGUCAUGAUCCCCGUUUAUUUCUGCAUUAUGAUUUUUGAUGAAUUAUGCAUAUGAUUACAAGUUAAGAUAGUUCUCGGCCUUGAUGGUUCGGAAUGGUUGUCAUGGCUAGGGACUUGGUUUGGGUCAUGAAAAACUUGGUAUUAGAGCGAGUUCAUGGUCCUAGGGUGUCUGGAAAGUCGCAUUGGGUAGAGUCCUAUUUAUGGGUAUGUAAUGCGCCACACUUAUAAGGAAGAAGUUACUAGGUGUUUAGGAAUGUCUCUCUUUUUUUCAUGUGUGAGUUUGUGAUUUAGAGUCUGAAUGUCCCCUAACUCAUGAUUUCCUAUAUUUCAAAGAUUGAUCAUGCCUCCCCAUAGAUCCAACGAGCAGAAUACCCAUACUGAUGAUUGCUCCAUACUCAUGGGAUGCGGACCCGUAAUAGAGCUCGUACUCCAAACUUUGUUGCUGCACUAGGAGUUGCUCCAGUCCCAACUAGUCCACCUUGGUCCGAUGUUAACCAUACCAAGCCUCCUCAGAGGAAAGUCUCGAAUGUUGAGUUCCAACAGUCUAUCCAUAUGAUUGCUCAGCUUGUGGCCUCUCAGAUCCGAUUUAAGGUUGAAUAUAAAACCAAAAAAAACCCAAAUCUCGCAUUCUCAAUACAACUCGCCAAGUACCCAAAACAUGCAAUUUUCUAUUCUCCAAAGCAAGAAAUUGAGGGUUUACAUCUCCAAGUGCAAAUCUUCAAAACUUCAAUUCAAGAAUCAAGAGUAAUCGAGUAUGUGCAUAUUCAAUGAGGAUCUCCCUUCCUCAUACCCAAAUUAUGAUUUUGGUCAUGAAUUCUACGAUCUUCAAAAACUAGGGCUUAACCCAAAUUGUCACUCCAAUCUUAAAUUCAAUUUCCUAUGAUAUAAUUUUCACUUUUAUGCAUGUUUUAAUGAUUAGUCAUGGUUUCUUAGGCCCAUAUCAUAUCAUUCACGCUGUUCUCAAAUCCAAGUAGGUUUAACGUGAUAUGAGUUAAGAUUUCAAGCAUAUGUUAAAGCUAUAUGAGUUUUUCUUAAUUUCUCUAAUUUAUUUUGUAAUUAAAACAGGAACACAUGUUUUCUCAUAAGAAUAGCAGCUUCCCAUGUUCAAAAUCAUAAAUUUCCUUAUUAUGACUAGUUGUUGAGUUUUGGGGCCUAAAUUGUGAAUAUCCUCUUGAUGUUAGUUAAUAUUGUCAUGAAUAGAUCAUUGGGUUAUGAACACCUAAUCCCUAGAAAAUCAGGCAUACAUCAUUUUACAUGUUCAUGAUUACUUCAUAUUAUGCAUGCAUUGUUUUUUCAGAAUACCAUGACUUGAGCAUAUCAAUUAUCAUUUUAUGUUUCAGUUAUACUUUAGUGUCUUUCAGUUGAGAGUAAUACUUAGCAUUAGGUGAAUACAGAGAUUACGGGUCCCUCGUCAGUUAGGAAUGGGAUCAUUUUUAGCAGUCCCUGAGUUCCAAAACUACGUUUCCACCAUAGGUUAUAAGAGGAUCCCCGUCAGUAGAGGCAUGCCACUCUAGUCCUUCAAGAUAUCAGUUUAGUGGAUCCACACCAGCCAGUGUUGGAACCCUUGGCAAGGUACUGACACCCUUUCAAUUGGUGUUACAGGUUAGACCCUGAUUUGCUUAGGUUAGGGUAUAUCUGUUAUGGUUAGCUCCUAUAGUCCGCACUUCAUGUUCAUCUUAUGUUUCAGUUUAGAUAUACAUGACCUUGUAUUCAGUUAUUCAGUUUUAUAUAGUAUAUGUUUAUACUUGGUCAUUGCAUCAGUUCAUGUUCCACAGUUUUAGACCCACUAUUUAUACAUGACUCUCAGUUUAACUUUACUUCCUUUUUAUAAUAUUAAUUUUCAGACUAUCACAACUUUUACGUACAACCAUAUUUUGAAUGCAUAUUUUAGAAAAUGGUUUUUGUCCUCAAUUUCAAAGUAUAUUUAAGUAUUUUCAUGACUAGUGCAUAUCUUACAUACUCGGUAUAUUCCAAAGUACUGAUCGCAUACCCCUUCUGCCUAUAUUUUAUUAUGUGAUAUAGAUUCAGAUGCUUACUCUCAGGAGCAUACUCAGGUAGAUUACAACAUUUAGUCAGCAAGUGAUGAGUUCUCUUAUUUUGAGGAAUCAAGUUAGUUGCAGUUCUUAUACCUAUAUUUUCUCUUUUGUAAGUAUUAAUUAGGGAUAUUUGGAGUCAUGUCCUGACUACCUAUAGUCAGUAUUAGUAGAGGCUUCAUAGAUGGUUAGUCAGACUCAUUGUAUGUAGUUUAAGUUCCUUAUUCUUUCAGAGCACACUAUUGUAAACUUUGGAAAAUAAGGUUUCGAAAUAGAUUAUGUCAUGAUUAUGUUUCUGCUCAGUAAAUUUAGCUUUUAUAUAUUGUCACAACCCAAGUCGUGUCCCUAGCUGCAAUGGGCAUCCCGAACCAUCAAGGCCUGAGAGACCCCUGUAAUAGCCCAACUCAUUACUGAUAUUGUCCAUUAUGGGUCUAGACCUGCACGACUUUAAAAUGCAUUACUAGGGAGUAAGGUAUGCUUACUUAUAUACCCAGCAUCCCUCCUGUGUUUUAUUGAUGUUGGACUCCUUAUCCUAAGUUGGGGUGUUACAUAUACCCGCUUUAUGGACUCUGUGUACUCGUUGAGGUUUGUCUAACCGAAUAGUAUUUGCCUAGACUCAGGACUGAUAUUUGCCCUGCCUUAUCAGGAUUUGCCUGAACUUAGUUUGAACUCUGGCCCACAUCGACAUGCAGGAAUGACUCUGAUACCAUUAUUGUCAUGACCCGACCCAGAUCCUUGGACGCAAUGGGAAUCUCAAACCAUCAAGACCUGAGAGAAUCCUGUAAUGACCUAACCCACUAUUGAUAUUGUCUGCUCUGGGUCUAGACCCGCAUGUCUUUAAAACGUGUCACUAGGGAGUAAGGGUUGCUUACUUAUAUACCCAGCAUCCCUCCUGUGUUUUAUCGAUGUUGGACUCCUUAUCCUAAAUUGGGGUGUUACAUAUAUAUAUAUAUAUAUAUAUAUAUAUAUAUAUAUAUAGGAAUAAGCAGGCAGCAGGUCGACGUGCCUGCUUGUACUGCUUGCUUCAGCUACUUCAAUCGUGUUAGCUUGAGAUCACUUAUAGUUUUAAGCACCGUGUUACGACUAAGAGGUAGUCUCUAUUCGUGACACUAUAUGACCGUGUUCUAGGUUCACAUAUUAUACUUUUGGAAUGGCUAGAGCCUUGGUGUCUUUAUCCCUUCCUAUGGAUUCCAUGGUUUUUGCGGCUAACACGCACCAGGACCCUUUUAAAAUGGGGAGUUGGGCCCUUAUAGCCUAUGGCUACCUUUAGGAUAUAGCGAGCUACACAAGUCAGUUUAAUGGUUUAAACUCUCAUGUUCAUGACCCUUUUCCCUAUCUCGACAUCCUAUAUAUGUAUAUAUGAAUUUGUACUUGUGAUUUUGAUUGAUUUUGGACAUGGAAUUAUUUUAUUACUUUCUCUAAGUUAUAUGCCAGUGCUUAUCCCACUAACUAUCCCUGGAUGCUACAUUAUUUCAUGAUAUAAGGUUUUCAUAAUAUAGGGUCCAAAAGGUGUUCUGUUUCUCUUGUACAACAUUAGGUGAAUCAAUACUCAUGUGGAUCUACUGUGAAGUAGUGAGCCUCUAUCUUUUGGAAGGCCCUGUCAUUUCACUAGUUUCUAUAUUGUUUUCAGUAGUGUUUAGCAUUCCAGUUUGAAUUCUUUCUAGUCAUAGUCUGGGGCAUGUCCCGACUUAGUUAGUAUUUUUGAUUUUAGAGGUGUUUAUGGACAAGUGUGGGUUGGAUGUUGGUUUUGAUUCAUAAAGUUUACAUUUGAUUAUCUGUCCUUUUUAUUACUAUUUCAUUGGUUUCCUCUAUAUUCAUUUAUUGUGUUCUGCAUAUUAGGCUAAGGGGGUAUCCUUCGAUUCAAGGUGGGCUUGAUAUACCUUUCACGACUAGGCCUUCGUUUGGGCCGUGAAAGGAAAAGACCAAACUAUCCCUAAGGAAACUUUAAAAAAUUUGCAAGAAAUACUCAGUUAACAACUAAGUUGAUAGCUCAUCAGCUUGUUGACUGCUCGUCAAUUUAGUCAUCAAUAUCUAGCUGAAUUAGUCAUUUGUUGGUUAAGGUUGACGACGAAGUUGACAGUUCAUCAUUUUGUUGAUGACUCAUCAAAUUAGUCGUCAAUCUCUAAAUGAUUUAUGGUCUUUUCUAGUUAAGGUUGAUAAUGAAGUUGACAGCUCGAUAGCUUGUUGACAGCUCGCCAACUUAGUCGUCAACUUCUGGUAUACAGACACUCCUAGGUAAAAUGAGCAUAACGUUCUACUCCGGUAUCGGAUUAAGGUGAAAUCGAAUGCGCUGGAAAGAAGACUCAAAGAUCUUUCAUUUGGUGGGUCUUGAGCUUCAAAAAUCUCUAUAUUAUAUAAGUUAUACUCAUUUAAAGUUGACCCUUGUAGGAUCAAAUACUAUAACUCAAUUGAUACAAAUGUUUUCAACUCAACUUUCCUCUAAGUGCUUCCUAUGAACAUAAUCGUCUCGAAAACACUUUACACACAAGGUGAAUGGUCAUAAAACUUAAUUGUGGUUUAAAAAUAGUUUCUUUGGGGCCUUUAAACAUAUGACAGAUAGUUGAAAACUUAUCAAGGAGCUUGUAGGGUAUUACAUAACACCCGGGUUGUUACAUUAUUCCCUCUCUUUAGGAUCAUUCGUCUCCGAAUGAGAGCUUAGGACACCCUUAGCACAAUAUACGGAGAAACCUAUAGGGACAAAAGAAUAACCUCAAAAUGAAUUAAGAGAAAGAAUAAGAUUUGUACCUUAGGUACUCUCAUCCAACCUUGGAAUAAAGAGUAUUGAGGCUUCAUGUCCUCCUCUGAUUCCCAUGUAGCCUCUUCUACCUUUUAGUUCCUCCAAAGAACCUUCACUAAAGUUAUUCCUUAGUUAUUAAUUUAUGAACUUUCCUAUCCAUAUUUCAAUAAGAAUUUCCUCAUAGGUUAAUGAAUCCUAAACGCUAAUAUCCUCAAUGGGCACCACCAAGGAAGGGUCAUCCAUACACUUUUUUUAGCAUAGACAAAUGAAAACGGGUUGACCCAAUGCUAAGCUCACUGGUAAGUCCAACCUAUAUGAAAUAUUUCUAACCUCCCUAGAAUAUGAUAUGGCUCUAAUAUAACAGGGACUGAGCUUUCCCUUUUCCCUAAAUCUUAGAACCUAUUCCAUAAGAGAAACCUUCAAGAACACCCAAUUGUUAACGUCAAACUCAAGCUCUUUUUAUCUCACAUAUGCAUAGGAUUUUUGGUGACAUUUAGUUGUCUUAAUUCUUUCUUAAAUUACCUUACCGUCUUAACUCUUUCUCAAAUUACCUUCACAUUCUCCAUUCUUGAUGUUCUAAAUCAGGCCUAAACAACAUUACCUCACCUACCUCAAAUAAUCCAAUCGGAGACCUAUACCUUCUACCAUAAAGGGCCAUCAGGCCCGAACAACCUUUUCUCACCUACCUUAAACAAUCUAAUCAGAGACUUAUACCUUCUACUAUAAAGGGCCUUAGAAGGGGCCAUUUGAAUAUUGGAAUAAUAGCUAUUAUUAUACGCAAAAUUGAUGAGCAACAAAUGAUCAACCUAACUUCCUUUGAAGUCAAUUACAUAGGCCCUUAGAAUAUCCUCUAAAUUCUUAAUAGUAUUCUCCACCUGUCCAUCCGUUUGAGGGUGGAAAUGGUACUAAGGUUUACCUAAGUACCCAAACCCUUCAUAAAAGAACACCUAAAAUGAGAAGAAAAUUAUCUAUCUCACUUAGAAAUAAUAGACACCAGGGCUCCAUAAAACUGGACUAUCUCCUGAAUAAAUAACUUUUCAUAAUCCUUUGCUGAGUAGUUAGUCCUCACCAGCAAAAAGUAAGUGGAAUUGGUCAUUCUAUUCAUAAUGACCCAAAUAGAAUCGUAAAGAUUUUGGGACCACAGAAGACUCGUAAUGAAAUUCAUAUUGAUCAUUUCCCAUUUCCAUAUAGGUAUAGCCAUGUCAUGGGAAGUGCCACCUGGCCUCAAAUGCUCUACAUUGACUUGUUGACAAACCAUACAAUUGGCAACGAAAUUUUCUCUGUCCUUCUUCAUAUUGUUCCACCAAUAAAUUUCUUUCAAGUCAUGAUAUAUCUUUGUUUAACUUGGAUGACCAAUAAAUCUGGACUAAUGGGAUUCGGUUAAAAUACUUUCUCGCAGCCUAUCCAUAUUAGUAACCGUACGCUCCUAACUUACAGUGUCAUCUACCCUAAUUUUGAAAGCCAUAACUUUUUGCUGACCUACGUCAUCCUUGAUUUGCAUAAUUAUGGGAUCCAGAACCCGCUUCUCGUUAACUUUGGCCCCAAGAGAUGACUUAUCCGCUUCUUGGACGAUCACUCCCAUAUCUUCAGAGUUAAAAAACCAAACUCCCAAGUUUACUAGUCGGUGAUUAUCCUUCACUAAUCCUCUCUUCUCCUCCUCAACGUGAGACAAAGUCCCCAUGGAUAACUUGCUAAGAGCAUCAAUAACAACAUUGGCCUUACCCGGGUGGUAGUACAGACUCUUGUCAUAAUCCUUAAGCAAUUCUAGCCACCUUAUUUGCUUGAGGUUUAAUUAUUUCUGAGUAAACACAUACUGCAAAGUCUUAUGAUUUGAAUAAAUAUCCACGUGCACCCCAUGUAAAUAGUAACACCAAAUUUUCAAUGCGAGCACUACAACCUCCAAUUCUAGAUCAUGAGUUGGAUAAUUCCCUUCGUGUACCUUAAGUUGUCUAGAAGCAUAAGCCACGACCUUACCAUGUUGCAUUAAUGCACACCCAAGACCCACACGGGAUUCAUCACAAUACACUAAAAAUCCCUCAGUACUAAUACAAUCCUAGCCAUGAGGACUCAAAUCUAGAUGCAGAAAAGUAAAGAUAGAGGGAUAGGAGAGUGAUGAUAGAAAAAUAGACACAAAAUUAAUAACAAAAGGUCAAUCUAAGGGUAUGUCAAACCCUAAGACCUCCUUUUAUGGAUUAUCAAUGAGAACCUAGCUCUUACGUGACCGCAAAUGGAUUAGAUCCUCCUUACAACCAACAUUAAAAGGUUCAACAUAUGCUUUUCCUAGCACUCGAACACUCCCAUGAAGUUAUCAUGAAUACAUCAUGUAAAUUAAUGAACAAAAACUAACUAAUGAAAUAUCUGAGGCACCAAUUUAUAGUAGUUUCCUUUGCACAACUAGCCUAUUACAAAAAUAGCCCAAAAGUGGCUAUUUCAGAAAGAACCCACAAGGUCUCUCUUUAUUCCUGUGCCAUGGCUUUCCUCGAUUCCAUGCUAUCUUCCAAACGUAACACUGCUUUAUUAGGAGCUCGAAGAAGGGCCUCCAAGCACAUUCUUGUAUCCUUAGGGAUAUCAAGUCUUAGACCUUCUUAUAUUGGCCUCGAUUUGUGUGAUCAAAAGCGUUGAUGCCCAUUUGACUUGUAUCAUCCUCCCCUUCUUGAAAAGAAUUCGACCUCGAAUCCAAACCUUACAAAAUCAAAGGAAGGACAAAAGAACACAAAUUACUCGUGGCAUGAGGGUUAGGGUUAGCAUAAGUAAUCAUUUCAUCAUUCUAAGGUUUUACACAGUUAAGAUAUAUCUAAGGAUCCUUCGUGUUAAUCAUUAAAAACUUGUUGAAAAACUUACAAAGGAGUUGGCUACGGGAAUCACCAAGAGGUAAGGAAACCACAAAGGUCAUAAUGGCAUCACUAAAUCCAAAAGGUAAGGUUACCUUUACUUUUAGAGCCAUAACACACAAUUGGUUCAUCACCUUUUUAAGAGACCACAUUAAGAGUGGUGCCUCAAUUGGUAUUAAAGUCCACAAGAUGCAUAUAGUAAUGUCACUCAAACAAGUGGACCAACCAAAAAAUUUUCUACCUCCACAUAAAACAAAUACAAAACUAGCAUGGAUGUCAUCAUAGGCAAAGAGGUAGUAUAGGAAGCAAUCAAGUAUAAAGGCAUCAUUGAAGGCGCUAUCAUCUGUAAGAUUUUCAUUUGACUCAAUAGAUAUAGCACAUAAGACACACAAGGAUAGAAUAAAGACAUUUAAGCACAUAUCACUUCUUUCUUUUAGGUAAAUCAUCAACUUGGCAUCCACAAGUUGAGAGUCAUGCAACUUAAGUACAAGUGUGUCAAACAAGGAUGCAAAGUUAUAAGCAACACCCAAAGGAGACAAUGAUACACUUGCCCUCAGGUUCUCCAGAAUGAUACCACCUUUGAGAAGGAAGUCAUCAUCUCUACUCACAUAAUGAGAAAGGGUGUCAUAUGAAAGGAGUUCAUCCAAAGUAAUGUCAUGACUCGAAUCGGAGCCCUGACCGUGACGGACAUCCCAAAGCAUGAAGGCCCGAGAGCCCUUCUAAGUUGUAAUCAUAUACACCAUUCAUAUACACAUAGGAAAUACGGAAAAAUACAUAAUGAAACAGAAUCAUGGUCAUAAGUCUGAAUUUAUUUUAUAGUAUAGAAAGUAAAGCCCAACGACAACUAGACAAUGUCUGAACCAGUCUGCGAAAUCUCUACUACAUGAUCAAAUCAAAGUUGUUUGAAAACUGGGACAAGGCCCCCAGUAGACCAAGACCAUAAUAAAUGAUAAAUGACUGAAAAACACUAGGCCUUCUGAAAUAUAAGAGGCUCAUCAACUGAACUUUGCACUUCUGCUGGAAGAAAUCUACUGCUUAUUAGGACCUCUAGAUUGAGCCUCAGAACCUGGGAGGGUAGGGGGUUAAUACAAUUGUACCGGUAUGCAGAGAAAAUUCAAAAUAAUAAUUUAUAUUCAACAUAUGUGAGAGCAAUAUAAAAACAAUUCAUAAAUAUAUCAUAUGGUAAGAAAUCACAUGGGCAUUUUUGAAAGACUCUGUAAAAUCAUCUGAACUCUAUGACAAUCUUUGUUUUACUUCUGCACUAGGUGGUACACCCUACAAUUUCAUAGCUUUCACCGACUACCUUAUCUUAGUUGCCGGCAAAAUAGGAGUACUAGUGAGGGAAGAUCACACAAGAUCACACAGCAGGGAGCCAUAACCCCAAUCAAGUCAUUAUGUUGUGGUUGGGCUCAAGAUCAUAAAGCAGGGAUCCAAACCAUAAGUCCCAAUUUGGUAUGACAAAAUAGUAGGUACACAAGAUCACAUAGCAGGGUACCAAGUACCCAUGUCAGCAAAUCAUGAUUUCCAGUAUAGAGUCAUUUGACUCGUGCUUCUUUUGGGUAACGACCUAACUCACAUUAACCCAGUUUUUAACUCUUUGAAACAUGUAUUCUCUGAAAUCAAACUCUGAAAACUCUAACUCUGGUACGGCAUACAUUUAUAUGAUAUCGUCAUACCAUUGACUUGCAAGUCAUAUCUCUGAGCUAUUAUUAGUAUAUUAAAAUCUCUGUUUUCAAAAUAUAAGUUUGGGACCACCAUAUCAAUAAAUCACUUUAAGAACUCCUUAAAUUCAUGUAAAUACAUGUAAGAAAACUUUCUCUUUGUCAACCAAUAAUAUGUGGUAGUCAUGUCAAAUAACUUAAUUAUAUGCAAUUCUUUCUCUGUAAAACAAGCAUAUAAGUAUAACAAGAGAUUUCCUCCCAUCAUCUCCAAAUCAUGUCAAAUACUAUGAUAUUGAAAAGACCACUUUCAAACCAUUAAACAUGUAUUUCAAAUCAUUCUCAAUAAUUUCAUAAACUUAAAUUCAUCACAAGAGAGGGAUUUCAUAAUUUGUGCUCUCAAACAAUCUUCAAUCACAAUUUUUCAUACAUAUACAUAUACAUAUAAAUUAAUUUAUGGGGAAAAGGCCUAAAGGACAAAACAACAAUAUCAUUGAAAUAUUCAUGAUGCAUAAUUAAAAAUCUUGAAUUCUAAAAUCCUUUUCUAAAUUCAUGCUUGAUAAUCUUAACUCAGGUUCUAGUGUUUACAAGCCCAUGUAGUUUUUAGGAUAAACCUCACGUACCUUAAAUUAGAAGCUUUUAAAUGAACUCUAGCUUUUGGGAGGCUAUACGUAUGAUUGAUGGGUGCUUCUUGUAGCCCUCGCAAUGGGAAUUCUGAAUCUUGAAGAAUUAAGAAAAACUCACGGUUAAAUCUUGAGAUAUAUUGAUCUUUAGGUUGAAACCCUAAGAAGUGUUCUUGGUUAUUUUGCGAGAAAAUAACCUUAUUUUGGUAUUUAGAGGAUUUAAUCCCGUGUUAUGGAUGAAAAAGGGGGGUGGAAAAUACCAAUUUUUCCCUUAAAAACGCGAAAACAGAACCUGAAAAUUGGGUACGUGCGACAGAGCGUGUGUCGCGCGAUGCUACUAUCUCAGUCACAAAAAUGGCCAUAACUUUUUGGUCGGGUAUCGGAUUUUAGUAAACUUGGUAUCAUUGGGAAGAUAAUUCGAAGAGAUUUUAUUUGAUAUAUAGUAUGACCUGUAAUUCUUUAUAUACAAAGAGUUAUGGCUUAUUGAAGUUGACCCAAGUUUCUACGCUCACUCAAACUCGAACGAUAGGAAAGCUUUUAACUAGUCCUUAAGUUUGAGGACCUCUAUGAUCUCAAUUCAUGAUCAAAUAGGUUCCCACACUACAAAAUUAAUUAACGUGCCAAAUUAUCAGAUUUAUGGCUUUUGGAUCAUCUAGCAUAGAAAUAACAGGUUUUGUUCUAUCUCAAAAUGCAGGGUGUUACGUUAUCUCCCCCUUGGGAUCAUUCGUCCCCAAAUGAUGGGUAGGAGUGUUGAAGUCUUUAAGGUAUGGAAUAACAUGGACAUGAUAUGUAUUCUAAGAAAGGAUAUAGAUGAGCUGAAAUAUUUAAACUUCUAUCAUGAAACUGAAUUCUGAGCUGACUUGACUUUACUUGCUUUAAGGAGCUGAUUCAUGCUGAGAGUUUAGGAUUCCCUUGAAGUGUUCAUGAUCAAAUCAUACAUAAUAAAUUGAGAAGUGAUAACUUAUGCAAGUAAGAAUCAUGAGAUAACUAGACUUAGAUCGUAUCAGGGUAUUAUACUGUCUAAGAUAAAAUACUUGGGAAAUUUGAGAUUAUGCGCUGAACUCUUAUGAACUGAGUCAUGACUAAAUAGCUGAAUCUAAAAUAUUAUGCUUUGACUAAACUAAAUUCACAACUUAUAUGGAUGGAAUAGAUUAUCUCUUGGGAUGGUCAUACGCCUGAGACUUCAGAUAGUAGGACUAGGUGAAAAGGUAGAAAACCACCGUAACUUGCCUGCCUGACUGUUAAACUGAAUUACACUGAAAACUUAUACUUAAUCAAAGUAUCUCUUCAACACUCCAUUCUAAAGAAGUUCUAGUAACAUCAGGAAGCAAAGAAUCUUGGGCAUGUGUUACACAAGACAUUUAUCUAAGGAAUCACAACAAUGACACCACUCCAUAGCAUGGAAUAUAAACAUAUAACUCAUAAACUAGGAUAGACUUACCAGGCCUUAGGCAAAGGAACUUUUUGUUUUCAAGCUUAGUACACUUCUCUAAUACUCCCUUAACUAUACUAUUCCCUUUAAAUACCAUGCUCAUUUGAUUCAAUCUUCUAUAUAUUUUUAGAGAUCACACCCUAAGCACAAUGUGCCUUACCCCUUCAAUGACGAACUAUGAACUCUUACAAUGGAUUCACUAGUGCAUAUUGCGUUCCUCCACUUAAAUCCCAACAUGUCAUCCAAGCCCAUCUUUAUAACCACAGAUGAACUUCAAGACAAACACCUAUAAAGACAUACUUCACAUAUUAUCUAAACCACUAUCAAUAUAACUCCCUCGUGCUACCCCAAGAACACACACACACAACUUUCAACUAACCAUCACAUAUAUCAAAGACUUGGACCCAAAUCUGACUUCACACUAAUGGCCUUAUCUAAAACAAGCAUACAAUGGUCUUCCAUCAACAAGGAACAUUUACUCAUCACCACUAUCAUCACAUAAGGAGGAGUCACUAAAAGGUUAGAACAUAAGACCUUGAAGCAUGGAAGGAUAUUAUAUGAGACUUGACACUUAACUGAGGCCUGAGGAACAGUGAAUCAACAUCAUGGAUUCAUCAAAGUGGUCUGAGUUGAGGGCAUACCUGGCUAUAAGCUGAAUCUCGCCAAUCAUUUGGCGUGUAGUAUGAUUUAUGGAAACCGAGCAUACUAUAAAGCGUGAGUACAUGAGUCAUGAGCUGCAUGACCUCAACUUGGAGUUCAUAACUUACGGAAUGUGAUUCCGACUACUGAAAUGAACUGGAGCUCCUCAUUUUAGAACUGGAAGAGUACAUAAUUCUCUAUCAUAUGCAUGAACAUGAACUAUGAUCAUGGAACCGAAAUGUAAGGUAUGAGUUAUGUAUUAGGAUAACUGAAAAAUACUGAGAUAAGAAUGGGUUGAGCCUCACCCUCACUUCUGAUGUUCUAUAUCAUACUCGCAUUACUACUAAAUUCUGAGAGCCUGCCUUGGUUACUUGUUCUAUCAUCUCCCCCUUAGCUUUAAGCCAUCAUCUUAAGUUUGAGAGAUCCCUUACCAAACUCUAAACUAAACCACACUAAAUGCACUUUGGGAUCUGGAAUACGACAAUACACGUAAUCAAAUAAAACGUAACCCGAAUAACUACACUGGAAGUGGGAAAACCCACUGCUAAUACUACCAUCUGAGAUACACUCUAUCUUUCUAUAGCUCCCCAAUAGUCAUCAUAUAAUACUUGAACACUUACUAACUUUGAAUCUUCAUGAGUAUCCCCAUAGCCAGAGUGCACACCCUAUAGAGCUUCAACUCUUAUUUCUGUCGGUUCAACUUUCAAAAAUUCAAACUUAGAUUCUAACACUUAACAUAGAUAUCACCAAGCCUUUGAUGAAUCAUACUACUUUUGACAUAGCCUACCAAUAUCAUGACUCCAAACUUUUAUCUCUCUACUAUGAGAAUCAAGAUCAUAUCAAAAGGCUUAACUUUAUCAAUCAAAACUCCUUAACUUGGCUAUUUAGAACACCAUAUACCAGCUAACUAGUCUUUCUCCCCCUAGCAACUCAACAGUACCACUAGCCACACACAAUAUGUAAUAGCCUUAGAAAAAUACCGCAACCUCAUAUCACCUUGGUAUACUUCUACUUCACAGAUAAAACAUACUUCAUUACGAAUUAAAUAAACUUAAGCUCUUGCAUGCACUAUUCAAGCCUAUUAGAUCGCUUUUAUAAAACUAGUAUCAUUAACCAAGAAAUAAUCACAUCCACCUUCAUGGCCAUCAAUUGUUCAAACUUAAUGUCUAGUGCUAAACAUGAUUUACAACCCUACCUUACAAUUCUCACUUGGAAACUACGAAAUAAAACAUCAAGAAACAAUAGUACACUAGAACUACUAGCCACAAUAAUCGAUCAUGACCUUGCUGUUUUCCUUAUUAUAAUUCAUUAACAUGCACUAUUUCAAUACAUCAAGCCUAUAGUCUAGCAUCAAUAAUCUACCACCAAUGAAGAAUGCAACAUAAUAUAAUAGUCCAUCAAAUUGGGAUAUUCUACCCAAAUAUCUCAUUUUAUUUAGAUAUAACCCACAACCAAAGCACCUUUAUAACAUCACUGCUAUGCCUCAAAAUCUACUGCAUACCUUCUCACAAGUAGUACUAGUUUAAAACUACCAAAUAAAAGAAGGUCAAGGGGGUAGAGUCACAUAAUAGACAUAGUCAACCUUAAUCUUAUAUUAUAACUCCAUACAAUCUUAUCUACUUAUACGAUUUUCUCACAUCACACUUACUUACCUAAGUGUACAUUUAGACUACCUUCAAACACCAUAAACAACCAUGUGACUAUAAUUAUAACUUAAUGGCUAAUCUAGCUAUUUUCAUACUUCCAGCAAACAACAACUCACCUUAGCUAAUAACUCCUUCUCUACCUUCUAUAAACUAACACACAAAAAUGUAUCACUUUAUUACCAACUCAAUCUCAUGCAAAAAGAUUCGGCUAUACAUACAUUCAAUAAAUUUUCCUUACCACUGUUCAUGCCAUUACGCCUCUAAACCCCCAGUUCCAACCAACACAAGAAUUAACAAGAUGAAUAACAAGUUUCUAGUGAAUCGAAAUUGGCCUUAUAUGACUUUACUAGAUUCUAAUUUUGUGUUUUGAACAAGAAAAUGAGAGGAAUGACAUGGCACCUAUGCUAGUGAAUCGAAAGAGCCCAACACGGCUUCACUAGACUUUUAGUUUCAACAACACAAUGAUAACAAGAUUACAAGAGAUAGAAACUUGACACACAAUAAUCAAUGAUCUAAGAAUACAUAUCUUACUCUAUAUAAAUAAAAAUCUGAGUCAAACACUUCCCCCACAGACUACUAUACAAUCCACACAUGCUAUUAGCUACCACAUUAGUUUAUCACUAUAAUGGGGUAAAUCAUCCUCAAACAUCAGUUAUUCAAUUAAAAUAUUUAUUUAUAUAAAAGUCACCCUCACUCUGACUUUUAACUUUGUGACUUCACAUCACCAACUUCUUGGUCCAACAUCACUACCAAUAGGUUAUGACACCAAUACUUAACUUAUACUACUACUUGGGUGGAAAUACAGUUCCAACAUUUGCUACACAUUAUCUCUCUCUUAAGCAUGACAUCUACAACAUAAAUUUUUGAAAAGGACCGAAUACAUUUAAUACCGCAGGCUGAAAAGCAUGAUUUCAACAAGAUCAAGGUUCACACUAGAAUCAAAACACUCUGACUCACUAACGAAAUCUUCUCAAGUGCUUGCAUAAUUUUUAAAAUCUUAUAUGAUUCAAUCAGAAAGAACCAUGUCAUUUAGACUCUAAACUUCUGUACUUAAAUCACCCCAAUAAUGAGACAUGUAUGAGAACAUCAGAGUAAGGAAAUAAUUGGGAUGACUGUUACUUUCGUAUGGGUGACACCAUAGCAUAAAUUAGAGUAUGAAAGAGGAACAUUCUGACUCUAUUGCAUGAACUAGAAUAAGAAGAAAGAUAGAUAUUCCUAAAUGCCUUGUAGCCUCUUGCUUAUAAGUGUGGUGCGCUACACACCCAUAAACAAGACUCUAUCCGAUGCGAUUUCACAGAUACCCUGGGACCAUAAAUCGUGCUCUGAUACCAAGUUUGUCAUGAUCUAAAUCGGGGCCCUGACCGUGAUGGACAUCCCAAGCCAUAAAGGCCCGAGAGCCGUUCUAACUUGUAACCAUAUACACCAUUCAUAUACAAAUAGAAAAUGUAGAAAAAUACAUAAUAAAAUGGAAUCAUGGUCAUAAGUCUGAAUUUAAUUUAUACUAUAGAAAGUAAAACCCAACAACAACUAGAUAACGUCUGAACCAGUCUGUAAAAUCUCUUAUACAUUAUCAAAUCAAAGAUGUCUGAAAACUGGGACAACGCCCCCAGUAGACCAAAACCAUAAUAAAUGAUAAAUGACUAAAAAAAACUAGGCCUUCUGAAAUAUAGAAGGCUAACUAACUGAACUCUACACUUCUGCCGAAAGAAAUCUACUACUUAUUAGGACCCCUAAAUUGAGCCUCAGAACCUGGGAGGGUAGGGGGUCAAUACAAUUGUACUGGUACACAAAGAAAAUCCAAAAUAAUACUUUACAUUCAACAUAUAUGAUAGCAAUUUAAAAACAGUUCAUAAAUAUAUCAUAUGGUAAGAAAUCACAUGGGCAUUUUUGAAAGACUCUGUAAAAUCAUUUGAACUUUGUGAUACUGUUUAUUUAACUUAUGCGCUAGGUGGUACACCCUAUAAUUUCACAGUUUUCACCGACUAACUUAUCUUGGUUGCCACCAAGAUAGGAGUUGUAAUAGCUCAGGAAAUUUUUCAUUGAAAUUUUGUGCAUAAACAUGUUGGGUUCUAUCUUCUAAAAUGAAUUAUAAAUUUUUUGUGUGGAAUGUCUUAUAUUAUGACCCACCAUUACGUACAGUAUUGAAUAAGAUUUCCAAAUAUAUGUGGAUCAUCCAAAACGGACACCCAAACGACGAGUUAUGAGCAUUCCGAUCGAACUGUGAAUAGUAGUGAACAGUAAAACAUGCAGGAAAAAGUACUGAGGCCUAGUGUAUUUUUGCUCGAACUUUAACGAUCAUAACUCCUUGUACAUAAUGAUCUGGGUGAUCUACUAUAUAUCAAAGGAAAGCUCUACAAGUUCUCUUUCCAAUGAAAUUAGUUUCAUCCAAUUUGCCUAUCAGAGAAAAAAGUUAUGGUCGAUCUACUUCAGCCUAUCAAAAGUAAAUUUUUGGGUUAACUUGAAAUGAUCAUAAAUCCUCGUACACAAUGAUAUGAGUGAGAUACUAUAUAUCAAUGAAAAUAUAUGAGAGUCUUCUUUCUAAUGAAAUUGGUUUUAUUCAAUUUGGAUAUCGGAGUAAAACAUUAUGAUUGAUCUACUUCAGACUAUCAAAACAGUCUACCAAAGGACAGAUUCGAGAAUUUUUUUGAUUUUUAGGGGCGUUUUCGUCAUCCCCCCUCACCCAAAAUCCAUCCAAACCCUAUAUUAAAGUUUAUUAGAAGCAUUAUAUGUUAUAUUUCAUCAAAUUCCCUUAAAAAUAAAACCCUAAGCUCUUACAUCCAACUUCAAGAACCUCCAAAGUUCACCAUUAAUUCUUCAAAUUUAUUCAAAAUUCCAAGUUCCUACUUCAAGAACGCCAAGAACCAUCAUUCAAAGGCACGACUAACAUCUCAAAAAUGAGUAUCAAUCUAAAGUUCAUCAUUCAAGGUAUGUGGGAUUUUUCAACAAGAACUCUCUUUCGUUCUUGUGCCCAAAAGUAAUUUUCUUUACAAAGGCAUGAUUUUUAUUUGAUUUUUUAUGAAUUUGAAGCAUGAACCCAUAUCUUAUGAUGAUUAUUAUGAAAUCUUGAUGUUUAUGAUUUUGAAAGAUGAAUUUACAUGUGUGGAGAUAUAAAGCAUGAAUCUUGAACGAUAUUUAUCAUGAUUUUGAUAGUUGGGUCGUGAAUCCCCUUGGAAAUUAUAUUUUUUUGAGAAAGUGUGUGUUAUAAGCACGUUGAUGUUGAAUAUUUGAGAUAUUUUGAAUGAUUUGACCUUUUGGUCUUAAUGGAGUUAUUUUGAACUCGAGUGUGAAAGAAAUCCACAACGUGGUUGAUUUUGAUAGAUGGGAAGCAUGAUGGCUCCCGAUGUAUAUUUAUAUAUUACUGAAAUUGUUUUGUUGUGGAUUGUCUUUGAAAUGAUCUGAGCUAAGUCUGGGAGAAAUCUUUAGCACCGAGUGAGAGGUAUAAAGCGACCUUACUUCCCUAGCACUACGUGCCCCAUGGGAGUGAGCCUGAGGCUGAUUUAUAUAGUGAUCACUAGUUUGUGUGGAUUUGAUAUCGAUAGUCCUACUCUGAUGGCAAGGAUAGGAUGGCUCUCUCCAACGUGGGUUGUAUGUUGGACUCAACAUAGCUUACAUGGUUUCCACUAGGUAAUUCACUAGGAGUGAGCUCAUUAUCUUUAAACGAGAUAUUGUUCUUAAAGAGAAAAUGAUCUAUCCAUAAAGAGGAUGUAGAAUGAAAUUCCAUUCUCUAAAACACCAUUAUUAAGUAUCAAAGAUGUUUCAAGCAUUUGAUUAUUUCUAUGAGCCAAGCAAGCAUUAGGAUUUUUACUAAAAGUCAAGCUCAAAGGGUUACUGUCAUUUUCUUGACCAACAUUCUCAAUUUCAUCACUUACUUGAGGUUCUAUAAUCAUAUUAAACAUAUCCUCUAGCGAUGGACUAGUUCCGUACACAAGUUGAUCAAUACAAUUUCCAUAAGAUGACGUACUAUCAUCCAAUACAAUGGCUUCAACACUAAGUGGACAAAAAUUGAUCUUACAAGAAGAGUCAAUUCGAUCAUCAAUAGGAUCAACUAGUGUAUCCAUAAUCACAAUAUGUACAUCAACAUCAAGAAAAAAAUAAUUAGUAGACUCACAUGUACGUAAGAUACUAAUCACACUCAAUGAGCUACUAGCCACACAAUCAUCAUUCUGUAAGACCCUGCAAAAUAUUACAUUGAUAAUCAGCUCUUCUAGCUUCUAAAAGCUCAUUGGAAGGUCCAACACUUAGAAUAUUUUAGCUAGGUGUUCAACACUUAGUCUCAUUUUAAGCCUUAGAACUUUGGGGAUUUAGUUGAUGACCUUUCUGGACUUCAUUUUCUAAUUUUCAAGUUGUGUUGCGAUGGGGCAAGCCAAUAGUACAUUUUGGGUGAGUUUCAGAAUUUUUGAAAUCCGUUUAGGGCAUGUUUGGAUUUCGAACCAGGAGCUAAAGGCUAUAAAGGUGCGCCACCCAGCUUAUAGCCUUGGCCCCCUCCCUCAAUAGCAAGGCUCCGACAAGCUACAAAAAGGCUCUUGGAAAGGCGCCGUUUUGCUAUAUCCACCUUCGUGCUUUGAGGGGUAAUUUGGUUAAUUUUCCACCCUUAUAUAAGUCUCAAACACGAAAUUAAGCCCUCAAAACACCAAAUUAUACUCUCUUUCCUCAAUUUCUCUCAAGAAAAAGAGCAAGGGUUUCAACUUGAAGACCCAAGUCCAAGAGAUUUCAUCGUAGAUAUUUAAGGAACUUUCCAUCUAAGGUAUGCAUGGUGUUCAUUCAUGGAUCCCUUUCAUCCAUGAAGCCCAAUAAUCCUCUUUUAAAUGUUAUAUCAUGAUAUUUAUGUAGUGAAUUGAUUAUUUUCAUGUUGUUAUGGUUGUAUGACUACCAAUAUUUAAUCUUUAUCAUGCUUUCAUAAAACCAUGUUAGUAUAGGGUUGAAAUUCACGCAAUAGAGUUAAAUGGUGGAAUCAUAUUGUAUUUAAUUGAUGAUCAUACCUAUGACCUAAAUAAUGCAUGCAAGGUGUUUGAUGAAAUGCCUAGUAUAGUAGAAAUCAUGAAUAAAGACUCAAUUGUAGUUUAUAUGAUAAAUGCAUGCCAUUUACUCAUGUUCAAUAUGACUCCCCUAUAAUUGAUUAUGCAUUAUGCUUGCUUGAUAAAGUGUUCAUUAGAAGUGUAUAGUUAAGCCAUGAUUAUUUGCUCCCUUGCCCAUGUAUAAGAUUAUGACAAUCAAGUGCCUCAUGAAAUAAUCCCAACUAUUUUAUUAUGUAUUGUUGAGGUUGGUCAUGCAUUCAAGAAAGCCAUGCCUUGUCAGUUUCAUUCUAUCAAGUCUUAGGGGUACUUGUACCCGACAAUUUAGUUGUGUGCCUAGAGUCAUGUCAUGUUUUCAUAAUACUCUCAGUCCAGCCAUGAUCCAUAGAACUCAGUCAGUCAUGUGACUCGAGAAAACCCAGAAAUCUCAGAAAUCUUAGUAAUCUCAGUAAUCUCAAUAGUUCAAUAAUCUCAGUGAUCUUAGUACUCAGUAAUAUCGGUAACCUCAGUAUUCCGAGUAAAUUUCAAUAACUUUAGUACCCUCAGUUAGUCCUCAGAUCUCAGUAGCAUUCCGUCAGUCAAUGAAACUCAGUGAACUCAGUUUAGCUCCGCUAAACAAUACCAUUAGUAUCAGUUUAGUUUAGUUAAUCAGUUUAGUGUCUAUUCAGUUGGGAGUAGGAUUCAGCACCGAGUGAACCCAUGGAUAGGGACUCACCUAUUAGUCAGUAGAGGGUGUGAUCCUUAGAAGCAAUCCUUGCGUUCCAGAACUACAUAGCCAAUGUAGGUUGAGAUGCACCCCUAUACGUAGGGCUACUAAUACAUCUCGUUUGGGGUUAUGCCUAUAGGAGGGUUGGUGGAAGAGCUUCCUAUCAGAGAAGGUUACCUCACAGUUUAUCUUUACCCGUGGUACGGUAUUGACACCCUUCCAGUUGGGGUUACAGGUUGGACCCUAAUAGUUUAGUUUUGGGGCAUGUUGGUUAGAUGAUUACCUCCCAUAGUCUCAGUUUCAGUCUCAGUCUUGGUAAUAGAACUCAGAUAGUUCUACGUGUUCAGGACUGUCAGAUACAGUCACCUAGUACAGUACAAAACUCAACUAGUUCCAUUAAAACUUAGACUGUCAGAUACAUUCACUCAUGUUAUCAAUUAUAUCAGUUAUCAGAACUCAUGUUAUCAGUAUUCAGCUUCAGGAUCGUCAGAUAUAGUCAACCAAACCAGUUCUUCAUAAUUAGAACUAUUAAAAAUAGUUAUUCAUAUACCAAUAAUGUAGUAUCAGUUCCUCAGUAUUUAGUAUCCCAGCUUUAGUAAACUCAGAUGUCUAUAAAUCUAUAUUAUCAGUAGACUCAGUAGUCAGAACUUAGUAUUCAGUCCUAUCACGAUCUCAGUUAUGAUUAUGUAUUCAUGUAUGUAUUUUCACAUUCAUGUUAGUAAGUCAGUUAGUAUUGUUCAUGCAUAUGACCCCCUUGCAUUCAGCCUACCUGACUUUUAUAACAGUACAUUUAAAGUACUGACGCAUUUGCACUAUGGUGUCUUAUACCAUAGGUUCAGAGACACGAGCUCCAAAGCAUUAGUAGAUUCCAGAUAUCAGUAGUCAGUCAGCAGUAAGUCCUCAUCCUUCGAAGAUGAUAUCAUUUGUUAUUUCAUUAGUUCAGUACUUAGUUAUUUCAGCAGUUGGAGUUAGUUGGGGAUAUAUCCCAUCAUCUCCUUGUUCAGAUGGUCGGUUUUAGAGGCUUUCAUACUAAGGUGUGUUCAGAUAGUUAUUUUGGUUAUUUUGGUAUUGUUAUACCAUAUUUUUAGUUAUGUAUCAGCAUUGAACCUUACGGCCUUUCAGUUCAUGUUUCCGCAUUUACGAUAUUAUUAUUAUCCAGUGCUUAGUUACAGAUAUCAAUCAUGGGUUAGCUUGUGGUCCUUCAGGGUCAUAAGCACCGUGUAGCAUUCUGAGUACCAGAUUUGGGUUGUUACAUAUUCAUAUGCAUAAAAGUGUAAGACUUAGAUAUGUUACCUUGAAGUUAUUGAGCACAUUCUUCUUUACCUUGGGGUGAAGGUCCUCCACAAGCCUCGGAAGCAUCUAAGAUUUCUCUCAUCAUGUCUUCAAAGGGAAAUUUCUCUUUUUGGUACUUGUUCUCCUCCAUUUUCCAUAUUGGUACCUACAUACAUGUCCUUAUUAACAGAAGGACAAACAAUUUUAGAUCCGAUUGGUGGAAACCCUCUUACUUCACUCCUCACAACCUCUCUUUUUCUCUCUCUUAGGUUUCCACCUUGUACACCCUUAGGCUUAGAGUAAGUGGUCAUAUUUCCUUGAUAAUUGGGAAAGGUAGGUGGAAAGAGAUGAUUUCCCCAUUGGUCCUUUGCAAACUUAGGCUAAUUUUUCAUAUUUGGAAUCUUGUGUUGUGCAAACCAAUCAGCAUUCAAACGUAUAUGUCUGCAUUCUAAUGGGAAAAUAUCACACCACGCAUCCUCAUAGUACCCAUCUCAGGUGAAGAAAACCUUAACACUCUCAAAGACUCUAUAGCCUUCCAAGAAGUAUGGCAACGCUUGGACACUCGAGGUAUUCCUAGAUAAUCAACCAUAAGAGGAGUUAUGUAGUUUGCAUGAAACCAAUUAUCAAAUAUAAGAACAAAACUCAAAACUUCACAAAUCUCUACCCAUCUUGAUCAAGGUUGUCUUCUUGGAUGACUAUUAUAAAGCUUCGUAUAAACCUUCGGCACAUAUAUUGGCCUUAAGAAAUCUUUUAAGGCCCCUCAAGUUUUAGUAGGAUUCUUUGCAAGUUUACACCAUUCUAAGGUUGGACCUUGAAUGUACUUAUGGGCAUUUUAGCUUGUUCGGCUUUGCUCAUAGCAUAAUCCUAGAAGACUCUUUCACAUUGCCACUCCUGAUCAAGGUAAACUUUGGGAUCCCGUUCUCCUUUAAAGAUGGAUAGAGUAGGAAGACAAUGACUCCUGCUAUACCCUCUAUUUCUACCUUGGUUCCCACUUCCACAUGUUUGGGCACUAGAACAAGAAGCUUGAGAUGUAGUAUCCCUAGGAUUUUGAGAUGCACAUGUCUUUAGUCCCAUGGAUCAACCUAUACUAUAGCUAGUAUAACCAUUUACACCACUUCACCUUUGAUAAGAAGCAUUACAAGGUGAGUAAUAUGAAUCUUCAUAAUCCUCACGUACAUUCUCACCAUAAUCCUCACUCGAUUUGUAAAUGAAUGAGUUAUACCUUACAUAACCUUUAGGAUCAAAGUGGGAAGUGUAAUACUUCUCACAUGCCCCAUCUUCCUCAUAAGAACCAACAUAAGGAUCUUCAUCAUCUCCAUACUCACAAUAAGAACUAGGAUCAUAAUUCAUCUCACAUUCUCCUUCGGAAUAGUAGCCCUAAUUUUCAUUCAUCUCUUGAUUAUGGCUACAUUCAUAGCCCCAUAAUCUCCAUAUUCUUCAUAGCCAUAACUAUAUUCACCACAAUCAUAGUCUCCUUUGUCGUAGUCAUAAUUUUUCGAGGCUAUCGAAGACAUGAUUCCUUAUAUCACCAUGUACCUACAAAAUGAACAAGUAAGAUUAGUAGUAAAGCUCCUCACCAACACUCGUAAUAAUCUCACCUUUGUGAUCCUCACAAUCUAAGAGGCAAAUGUUGAAAGUUUCUCAUACUCCGGUGUACAAUAAGGUAUCAAUAUCUACUUUACGGCUGGAGUAGAUUCUUGUUUGAAACAACUCAAAGAAAAAGAUGUACGAACUUGAUUCAAGUAGCUAUGAUGAAUUAAAAACUAGAAAAGAUUCAAAGAAAUUGGACGAUGAAUAAAUUCGGAGUCAAGAACUAAUCAUCCAACUUAGUAAGUGAAUUACUAGUUGUUUAUAGUUUUUAAGAAUCAAGAAGAGAUUUAAGAAUCAAGGAAUGAAACUAUGUAAUCAAACCUGUGCAAAUUGGAGUUUAGGAGUAUUAAAAUGAAUUUGAAACUUGAAUUAGAUGUUGGGAAGGCUUGAGAUGUGUUCAAAAUAGGUUGGUGAUGUAUUCAAGAGCGAUUCCUUGACGUGUGGCCGCACCUUGGGUGCAUUUAGAGAGAAGGUUGGACACAGGAGGAAUAUGCUCCUGAGCUGUGGCCAAUCUGCGACCAAUCUGCUGAAGAAGAUGCAACACAGGUCACUCUAGUGCCUUCUGCUCCUAAUCUGUGGCCAGCCUGCUAUCAAUCUGCUGAAAUAGAUGCAACAAUGGCCAAGGCAAUAAGGCUAGAAUUUCAGCUGAGCUUUUCAUAAAUAUGGGCCUCCUUUGCCUCCCUCUUAGGUAUAUUCUUUAGGACCUUCAAAGGUGCUUGUACACACACUUUUGUACACCUUUUUCUUCACCUUUGAGGAUCAAACAACCAUCUUUUCCAAUAAUUCCUCUUGAAGAUUUGAAUUUUUCCAAGAACACUCAAGAACACCAAAGCUUCAAAAAUCUCUAUCUUUUAAACCGUUGGUUGAACUAUGACAAAAUUUUGAACCAAGGCUCUUUUAAACCUUCUAAACACAUUCCAAACAUUAUUUUGUUCAAAUUCACAACCAAAUAUUCUAGAUUUUCAACUCAGAUUAAACUUCAUCAACCCCAACUUCCAAUAGGGAUAGAAUAGUCAAAUAAGCUGGGAUUUGACUCAAAUUUUGUCUAUAGACUCGUACAGUGUUAGAGAAUACAAAUAUAACAAUGGAAACACAAGAAAAAAACACAAAAUAAAAUCUCAAAUUUUGACCUAAGACCAAAAAUAUGAAUAGUAACUUUUUUUGGAAUUUUUAAUUUUGACACUUCUUUUUUCUUGAUUUGCAAGAUAACAAACCCGAGAUUGACUUCAUAGGAAUGAAAUCAAACUCAGCUCUGAUACCAAAUAUAUAAAAUGAUACUUGAGUAAUCUACGAAGAUGAAAACAAAAACACAAACAUAAGAAUUGAUGAAAUUGAAGAACGAAAUGAAAAAGGAUGAAAGGAUAGAUGAUAGAAAGAUAGCCAUAAAAUUAAUAACAAAAGGGCAAUCUAAGGGUAUGUCAAACCCUGAAACCUCCCUUUAUGGAUUAUCAAUGAGCACCUAGCUCUUACGUGAUCACAAAGGGAUUAGAUCCUCCUUACUACCAACGUUUCUAAAAAAGGUUCAACAUGAUCCCCUCGCUAGAUAUCACAUACCCAAGAAAAAUCACAACACUUAACAAAAAUUCACUCUUACAAAAUUUCAAAUACACCUCUAAUUCAUAAGAGUCUAUGACAUAAUUCGGAGGUAAUUUGCAUUAUCCCCUCACUUUUGGAGUACACCGAGAUGUCAUCAAUAUGAACUAUGACAAAAAAAUUCAGAAACUUUCUAAAUACCUGAUUUAUAAGGUCCAUGAAAGCACUCGGAUCAUUAGUCAAUCCAAACAACAUAACCAAGAACUCAUAGUGGCCAUAAAGGUUAUAGAAAAUAGUUUUUGGAAUAUCAGCCUCCCAAAUCUUCAAUUUAUGAUAACCCGAAUAGAGAUCUAUUUUAGAGAAACACAUAGCAUCCUAAAGCUAAUCAUAGAGGUCAUAAAUCCUUGGAAGAGGGUACUUAUUUGUCAUAGUAACCUUAUUCAACUGACUAUAGUCUAUAAACAUCAGAAGAAACCCAUCUUUCUUUCACAAAAAAAGCACAGGAGCACCCUAAGGAGAAACACUGGGAUGGAUAAAACCCUUAUCAAAAGAUAUUUUAAAUUAUCAUUUAGCUUCUUUAGCUCUACCGAAGCUAUCCUAUAAGGAGGAAAAAAAUGGGAUGGUGUCCAAUAGAAGAUCAAUUCCAAAGUCUAUUUCCCUAUUGGCUGGAAUCCUAGGAAGAUCAUUGGGAAAAAUUUUGGGAAACACACUAAUCAUAGGAAUAAACUGUAGGGAAGGAAUUUCAUAGUUAGAAUCUUUGACCAAACUAGAUAGUACAAACACCCCAUGGAUAUUAUCCUUUGAUCUCUAGGAUAAGAAAUAAACUUCCCUCCCAUUCUAUCACCAGUUCAUUAGGAAAAUGAAAAGUGACCUUUCUGGUCCUACAAUCUAGAGAUGCAUAGCAUGAAUAAAGCCAGUCCAUCCCUAGGAUUACAUCAAAAUCCACCACAUCAAGCUCUAUUAAGUCUGUUAAUGUCUCCCUAUGAAGGAUGGACAUGACAUAACCCAUAUAGACUUUUCUAGCAACUAUGGACUCAUCCAUCAUAGUAGAAACAAAAAAGGAGUAAAAAAUACUUUUGGGACUAAAUCCAAAUUGUACAUCCACAUAAUGAGUCACAUAGGAUAGACUGAAACUAGAUCAAGCAACAUAUAAACAUUACGAGAGAAAAUCUAUAAUAUACCAAUGACGACAUUAGAGGAUGCCUCAGAUUCAUAAUGAGUAGAAAAGGCAUAAAGGCAAUUUUGGCUAUUUUUUGUACUUGAUUUAGUAACCUUAGCUGCAGGAGUAGAUGAAGUAGCGACCGGAAUCUUAUUAUCCCCGUUGGCAACCCUAGCUAAAGGAUAAUCUCACUACCUAUGACCAACCAACCCUAACUAAAGUAUAAAUUCUUUCCCUCCUCAUGAUAUCCACGAUGAAGCCUCCCACAAAAAUAGCAAAGAAGGUAAGGUGGGGACAACUGAGCCCCACUAGCUAGAGAUUGGGUACUUUAUUCCCUAGGUCCAUUUUUAGUCUAGAAAUGUCGAUUACCUAAAGGCUUAGGUGCAAAAGCACUAGCUGACGAAUAAGAAUUUUCCCCAAGUAUUCUUUGGGAACCAUCGUCUACCAUCUUUCCCACUGUUCUACUGGUUCACAUCCUGCUCUGCAUACUUAGCCUACUUGUUUUGUUUUUUCCCUAAUUCAACCUGCUCCAUCUUCUUAUCCUCCAUCUACUUUAUAUAAACCACUAGCCUUGAUAUAUCUAUGUCAUUGUUCAGUAUAGCUACCUUAAACUCUAACACCAAGUCACGAGAAAGAAGAGAAGCAAAAUUCUUCAUUAUAGACCUCAUAUUGGACACCAUAUUAGGAGGAUAAUGGGAUAGUUGGGUGAACUUCAAUGAAUACUCCUUAGCACUCAUCUUACCAUGCUUUAGAUUCACGAACUCUUCAGCAUUGUCUUCCCUCAACUCCUGGGGAAAAAACUGAACAAGUAAAGCACUCAAGAACUCUUCCCACACCAUAGGAUCUAUUUCAUCACCCCUUAACUUUUCUUACUCAUCAUACCACUAGUAAGCCAUCUUUUUCAACUCAUAAGCUGUGAAAUUCUACACCCUUUGAAUUAGUAGCAUGCAUAAAUCUAAAGAUUUUUUCCAUCUUAUCAGUAAACCCCUAAGGAUCCUCCUCAACCUUAAAAACUAUGAAAGUUAAUGGAUUUAUCCUCAUAUAUUGGCCAACUUGAAUGACAUCAUAUGAACUAGUGACAGGACCAAAAUGAUCUGAUUGAUGAGACUACGAUGUCACAAUCUAGGAAAAUAUAUGAAUAGAAUGAUGAAACUCACCAUUAGAGACAUCUCUUUGAGGGGACUGAGUGUGAGUAACACCAUCUCGAGAAUCUUAAGAAGGGCUAGUAGGGACCAGUGGAACCCUAGGUGUAGUAGUGAAGUCAAUAGUAUGGGCCCUAUGCCAACUCUGCAUUCCAUGAGUAGGGUGAACUUCCUCUGUAUUUUCCCCAGUUAGGACGGAGGUUCCAGCUGAGUUCCUACAAUCGUCAAAUCUUUGUGGAGGCAUGAUCUAAAAUGCACGCUUACUUGCAUAUAUUAUAACCAUAAAUUCUAUCUAAAAUAGGCCCUAUGGCACGCUAUACACCUACAAAUAAGAAUCUACUCAACAUGGCUUAUAGACAUCCAGUAACCCUGAAUCAUGAUUUGAUACCAAGCUUAUCAUGACCCGAACUAAGGUCCUAGCCGUGACGGACACCCCAAGCCAACCAAGGCAUAGGAUGGACCCUUAUCCUUACACCAUAAGCAUGAUAGUAUAAAGAAAUUACAAAAUCAAACCCAUGAAAUAAAAUAUUUCAAUAAUAAAUCAAAUAAAAACUAAAACUUGGGGUCGAAUCUAGAAAAACAUAACCUAGUACAGUCUAUAAGCCUCUAUCCAUAAAAUAUCUAUAAAGUUAGGACAGAACCCCAACAAUGCCUAAAGAAAAUAAGAAAAGUGGAUAUAACCAAUGAUAAAAAAGUAACAGCCUUUCAAAGGAUGAAGGGCUCACCACUUCUCACCAAAUUCUCAAUGGAAAGACAAACCACCUAAUGAUGCACAAUGUCAUAAAAAAAGGCCUUCGAACCUACACUGUGAAAUAAUACAGUGUUCGAGGAUGGUCAAAUGGUGAGUACUGAUAUGCAACCCAAGGAAAGUGAUAAUAUAUAUAUUUACUAAAAACUAGUUAUAAAACAUAUGAUCAACAACCAUUAAGAUAAUAUAAUAUUAGGGAAGAGGGCAAAGUACAUGAAACAUGACCAUUUAAAAUUUAAUACUGAAUUGUGUAUCUCGCACCAAUCUUAAAACACCCACGGUCUAUAUGGGUCUGACUCCCCCCACCUGAAGGUCCCCAAUCCAAGUUAGCCAUAUGGAUUGAGGAAUAGGUUAAAGUCACCAAUAGACAAUAACCUCCCAAAGAAUAAUUGUGCACUACUGUGUGAAUCAAGCACACAAUGGUCAUCCAUAUUUUAGGACAAGACACCUCCCCCUCCCCAACGUCGAAAAUGUGAUUUCAAGUGUUGGUCCCCCGGGGACAACGCUAUCUCGGUGAACUAAACAAUUCCCAUUAAGUCCAAUUAAAAUAUUUCAUGUACCAUUAACCAUGGAGUUUACCAUUAAGGCAUCCCCACAUUGGUAUCAUCAUACCUAAAGGUUUGAAAGUCGUCCAUAUAAUGCCAUACCAUUUCUAUUUAUCAUUUAAGCUCUAAGUUCAAAUUUCAGGAAAAAACCAAUAUAAACAUUUUCCAUUAAUGUAUGACAAUAUUUCCAAAGAGUGCGCUGAACCCUAUAAAAUCCCCUUUUAAAAUAUAAUUUAUCCAAUAAGUUUUGAUUUAUAUAUUUAUCAUGCCAAAACCAUACCCAUUAUGAAACCACAUUACUAAAUUCAUCCUUUUGUAAUUCACAAUUCAGCUGACACCCCAUCAAUUAAACCAUUAAGACAAGGAAAAAUCAAUACAAUGUGUUUAUCAACAAAAAAUCCACAACCCUAGUUUAAACAAUCAUUAAAACAUGGUAAUAUCAAAUAACUUUCACAAUCUAAAGAUAAUUAAAAAUAAGAGAGUGUCCAACAUGCCUUUACGAUGGGAGAAUUUUGAGGGGAACUUUAAUUUAGAGCCCUGAAGGUUGAAUUCUUCAGAAAGGACCUUAAUAGCUUUAUCUUGGGAGUUGAGAGGAGAAAAAAUGGUGUUGUUCUUUGAUAACUGAUGGGAAAUAAGGGUUAAGGAAUGUUUAAAUUCAAUUAAAAGGGUAAAGGACUAAAAAUCCCUUAAUCUAAAUAAAAAAUAAGAAAGAUCUACCUUUGAGAGUGGCACGCCCUUAUCGCGGAGGCUCCACUAAAAGAGCGUGGCUUGGUCUUAUCAUGGACCUUCACUUGUUUCCAUGAUAAGGGUGUGUCUCCACUACGUGGCACGCCCUUAUAGCACACCCCUACUAUUUUAUGAUCCCAAAAUAUCCCAAAAUGUGAUCGAAAAAAUUUCAAAAUGCAUCCUGAUGGUCUCAUUACCAUCCCUUACCGUAAUUCCACUCAUAAAUUAUCAGUAAAUACUAAGGAAGUACCAAACUAAAUUCCUUGAAAAAUAAUGGGGUUGACACACUUAGGCUCAUUAUUUUGAUGUGUUAUGGGCCUCGUAACACUCAAGUUGUUACAACAUUCAUGUCUUAAGAACCAAAUCCAAACAAAUACCCAACAACUAUCUAUGAAGCCUCUAACUUUAAGAAUAACUCUUAAGUCAAAACAUGGCCCCCGACUAUACCAUAAAAAUUAUAUAAUACUAAAACAAAAUAUAAAUGAAAAGUAACAUUGCCUUCCAAAUGAUGGAGGGCUCACUACUUCUCAACAGUUGUCCAACAGAAAAAUAUGAGCACGCUAGUGUUGCACAGAAUCACGAAAAAAUGCUUUCGAAAAUACAUCAUAAAAUAAUCUAGCAUCUGAGGACGGUCAGUGGUAAUUACUGAAAUGCAACCCAGGGAUAGAAAAUAAAUAUUUUAUAAAGCAAGCCUUAACUCAUUUAAACAUUCAUAGUAAUAAUAAAUAGGGGAUCAGGGACAUGGGAUGUAAAGACAUAACCAUUUAAAACUUAAUCUUGAACUAUUUAGAUUUUCAUCAUUAUCCAAUAAUCAACGAGCUAUAUGGGUCCAAUAAUCCCCAAUCAGUGGGGCCUCAAUCCAUGUUUUCCAAAAGUAUGGAGAUUAGGAUAAAAAUCACCGAUGGACUAGAGCCAAGGGUGGCUCAAACACUAUGGUGGACCAAAGAAAACUUCAAUGAGAUGGCCUAAGACAUUAUAUACAAUAAAGGACUUUUAUAUACAAAGUUAUUAGAAUUCUUAGGCCAUCGAUAUCAUACGCCUAUUGAAAUAGUUUUCAUGAAAAAUAAGUUAUUCAUAGAUUUUUCAAAAAUAAAUUAAUAUAUAUGUUGCAUAAAUAUUAUUAGAUCAUAUUUAUAUGUUGUAGAAGGUACAAACCUUGUUUUCAAGAUUUCAAAUAUCUUUAAAGAGGUAUACCUACAGAGAAAUUUAUAUUGACGAAUGACGAUGUGGGAUAAUUUAAAAUACUUUCUCUAACCCAAUUUAUGUGACACUUUUUGCGUUUCAAGAUUCAAACUUUUGAUUGUAUGCUUAUAUAUAGAAUCAUUACAAUUUACAAUUAAAUUAUUUAUUAUAAAAAAAAAUAACUCAUUUAAUUCUUGAAAUUCAAAAACAAUCACAUAAAUUGAGACAAAAAAAUAUAAUAUAUACACAUGUUAUAAAAUUUUGAGGCCCCCUAAAGCAGCAACUUUAGCUGUUUCAUGCUUCAGCUGGCCCAGACUAGAGCCACUGUAUUAUCCUCAUGUUAAGGACACCAUUCAUUGUCCAAUUAAGGUACGACAUCCCUGUCUCAGUAAAACAUAGGUUUCAAAUAUUGGUCACGAAGAUGUACACCUUCUGAGUGAAGCUACAUAAUUUCCUUUAAGGCCUAAUUAAACCAUUUUACACACAUUAUUUUUCAUGAAGUCUUUUAUUAACGCAUUCCCAUAUUGAUAUCAUCAUACCAAGACUUGAUAACCAUCCAUAACAUGCCAAACCAUUUUCAUAUAAUGUUUUAGACUCACAUAUUCAUCUUUAAAGUUCAUAAACAUAACCCACCAAGUAUUUUCAAAAAGUUAUCUAGCCUUUCAUUCUUUCAUCUCAUACCUUAUUCAAAAGAUGAUGUAAAAAUCAUAAUUUUUGUGAAGAAAAAUAAUGUUUUUAAGUGGUUUGGGCAUCAUAUUUUCAUCUUACAAAAUCCUUAAAGGUUAUAAAUCCAUGUUAACAAGUUCACCAUUUUCAUAGAAUAGAUUACAUGUCAAAACCCAUUAAUAAUACUUAGAAAAUACGAAAAAUAAGAAACGAAAUAAAUAUAAAGUUUUUCACAACAAUCUCACCAAUCCUAGUUUCAAACAAUCAUUAAAGAACACAUAAUAUACAAAAUAAAUGGACAAAAUCUAUUAAUAUGUAAAGUAAUGAGUGUUCAACAUGCCUUUUAGAUGGGGGAGGACGAAGAGGUUCUAAAUAUUCUCUCUUUUUUAAAAAGAUCAUAAUUCAGCAUUCAAAAGGGGUUUUAAGCAUAUAAAAGUUGGACCUCAUAAAAAAAAUAACCAAAAUGCCCCUCAGCUUACACAACAAAAUUUCCCAUAAAUAAGUUCCCAUAGCGUGACCUACAAAUCGCGGGUUGAACCCACGAAUCAUGGGUAGAUUCAUAGGAAUCAGAUUAUUUUUUUUACCUUUCAGGACCUACUCACAACUCAACUCAUGAGUCAUAGGUUGAACCUACGGAUCGUGGGUAAAGUUGUGGAAAUCAGACAACUUGAAAGGACUUUAGUAAACGGCCAUAACUUUUAAUCCAAUAACGGAUUAAGACGAAACUGGAUGCGUUGGAAAGCUAAUUCAAUUAUCUAUUAUUUGGUGGGUAUUGAUCUCAAAAACACUACAUAAUCUAGGAGUUGUACUUAUUUGAAGUUGACUAUAGCAAGACACUUCAUGAGAAAUCAAUUGGUAAGGAAGGUUUUGACUUGGCUAUGAGUUUGGAGUUACUUGAGGCCUUAAUACUUGUAUAAAGCACUUCCAAUACUACAAAGAUGUGAGAUUUCUUUUCACAUGUAUUUGCAUUUUAUACAACAUUGGGUGCCCGAAGGUUAUAAAAUUUUCAAGGUGUUAUAGUAAUGACACAUAAAUUGUUUAGCUUUUUUCUAUUUAUAAUUAACUUCUUCAAUCACAAUGAAAGUCAGCUCUUGUUUGGUAAUAAAAGAAAUUUUCUUAGAUUAUUUUCGGUUGAAAUUUUUGUUUGAUUAAGACUUCUUCUGCUACCGUGGAAUAUUAUGACAGAAAGAACAAUUCACUAUAAUUAGGGAAACUUCUCUGAAAGGUUUUUCUCUUUCUUUGUUUUGACUUUGAAGCAGUAAUUCUAUUUAACUGGGCAUAUCUAGUAACUUUUAGUUGUCCAUUGUGCACAUAUUACAGUGGAGUUUUCAUGUAGGGAAGGUGGAGGGGACUGUUAUUUGAAGGAAUUUCUAGUAAUAAUUGUCACAUCCCAAAAUAAUCCCUAGGCGUGACUGGCUCUCGAUAACACCAAUUGCUAGGGGAGUCAAUUUUCUAUACAUUCACAAUAUCUACAAACACUGAGAUAAAGACAUGUGCAACAACAAGUGCGUGAAAAUAUUAUUAAACGCAAAGUAUUCAUCCACGCGGUUAUCGUAAUACGAUUUAUGAAAACAACAAUACUUAAAUAAUAACUCUCUAGCCUCAAAUCCCACACCAAAAUCAUGGAUCAUCUAAACAGAGUCAUAGGAGCUCAACUUUUGGGCAUCCAAACCCAACAUAAGAAUUAUAAUCUAAAAUAACUAAAGCUGGAUGACUGCCUCCACGGAUAAUGUGAAGGUGUAAUACCCCGUAUAUUUCUAAGAUGGAAAAUGAACCGUUGUUACCACGUAAGAAACCUCUAAUCUUAUAAUUCAUAUUUUAGUACACGACUUACAAUAAGUAUCCUAGUGAGAAGAGAGCUUAUGAUGUGUUAAACAUGUUCAUAAGAGUCACUUAAAGUAAUGCAAGCUAAGAGCUUUUGAAUCCAUCAAGUUUUAGUGUUUGAUUUCAACUGGUCAUAUUUGAACGAGCAUAAAUUGAUGUAUAUGUGGUAUUUUUGUCAGUUUUAUACCCACCAAAUUUAAGAGAAUCGAAUUAUCUUUCCAAUAAUACCAAUUUUGCCAAAAUACGGCAACCGAACGAAAAGUUAUGGCUUUGCAAAGUGGAGUGCGUCGCCUAGCAAAUCGCCUAAGGCUAAUGGAAUUCUUAUGCCAUAGGUUAGGUGCCUCCCAACCUAGAUAAGGCAAUGGUUUAGGCACUGCCCAGCCUAACUUAGGCAAUGGGCAAUGCGCCGCCUAACCUAGCUUAGGUGAUGGGCAAUGCGCCGCAUACCUUAUGGCCCAAGUGACGUAAACAUUCCAUUUUUGAGUUAUUUUGAGGGAAACUAAGUUUUUUGAAACUCCUUACGUGUCCCUAAACUUAACCUUACAAAAUUAAUAGCUCCUAAUCACAUUAUAACCUUAUGAACAUCUUAAGUUCAUCAUCUAAGAACACUAUAGGUGAAAAACAACUAGGGUUGCACAAUCAAGCUUGAAUGUCCAAUCUUUCAACGAUUUUUCCAUCAUAAAGGUAUGUGGGGUUAUGAACAAGGAAAAUACUUUCAUCCUUGUGCCUAAAAUUUAUUUUUAAAUUACAAUUACUGAAUUUUUAUAUGAUUUCAUAUGAAUUCCAAGUGUGGGUUUACACCCAAAGUAUAUUAUUGAUGAUUUUGAUCAUGAUAUGAAUGAAUUAUGAAAUUUUUAUGUUUAUUUUGAGUUAAAGAAUGUUCCUUUAUGUUUUUUGGCUAUCAUGAACAUGAUUUAAGAUAUUGUUUACAACCUUUCAAUUGAAUUGAGCAUGAUAUUCUGAUUUAAAGUCAUUAUCUUGAUACUAUUGAAGUAUGGGUUAUUAUAUAAGAUUGAGUGAUUAUGAUUUCAAGAAAGAUGAUACUUUAAGCAUCAUAUGAACAUAUGUUUAUAGAUUGUCAGUUCAUCUUUGAUCUUUAGAUCAUUGUUUUAUCUUUGGAAUCCACAUUUUAGAUU
This 70837-nucleotide long non-coding RNA is filed under the name Capsicum annuum. RNAcentral's name for it is "long non-coding RNA (CANN_LNC019736)". The record is from RNAcentral. Lineage: Eukaryota; Viridiplantae; Streptophyta; Magnoliopsida; Solanales; Solanaceae.